RNAcentral lists this long non-coding RNA (45311 nucleotides) under Brassica rapa (field mustard). RNAcentral's name for it is "long non-coding RNA (BRAP_LNC003301)". The stretch from base 10620 to 10726 matches the Rfam family "Plant small nucleolar RNA R71". The record is from RNAcentral. Lineage: Eukaryota; Viridiplantae; Streptophyta; Magnoliopsida; Brassicales; Brassicaceae.
AUCAAAAAGCUAGAUCUUUUUUGGGGUUUGGACUCGACAGCAACUUUUGGAAGCAGUCAGGUCAAGGAUUCCAAAAUUUACUGUUACUUAGGGUCUUAGAUUUGAGUUUAGAUUAUAAAAUAGACUCUAAAGGGUGGAGAAUACCUUCGAGCAUUGGAAAACUCAUUCAUUUGAGAUAUUUGAGCUUACAAAUGGGUUGGGCAACUCAUGUACCUUCUUCUUUACGGAAUCUAAAGCUUCUAAUCUAUUUGAGUAUUUACUCCCGGGAAAGAGUUCAUCUGCCAAGUAUCUUUAAAGAGAUGGUACAGUUGAGGUUCCUGCUGCUUCCCCCUUUUGUUGACGCUAAAACAAAGUUGGAAUUGGGUAAUCUAGUGAACCUGGAGUACUUGGGCUGGUUCCGAUCAGAAUACGGUAGCAUCACUGACUUCCUCCGAAUGAAAAAGCUCAGGACUCUCGAGAUAUUUCUCAAAGGCAGGUAUACUUCUGAAAUUCUAGCGUCAUCUCUCGGUGAAUUAACAAACCUGGAGGAGUUUAGAUUGAUCGAUGAGAACAACGAAUCCGAUGGGGCUUAUGAUUUGGAUUUCGUUUGUAAUUUCAUUAAGCUAAGGCAUUUAGUGAUAUGGAUGCAUAUGACAAGGCUUCCUGAUCACUCUCGAUUGCCUCCCAACCUUGCACACAUAUCUCUAACUAACUGUGAAAUGGAGGAGGAUCCACUGCAGAUUCUGGAAAAGUUGCUUCAUUUAAAGUCGGUUGAAUUAUCAAGUAAUGCUUUCGUGGGGAGGAAGAUGGUGUGUUCAAAAGGUGGAUUCCCUCAAUUAUCUAAGCUUGAAAUGUCGUACCUAGACGACUUGGAAGAGUGGAUAGUGGAAGAAGGGUCGAUGCCAUGUCUUCGUACCUUGUCUAUAUGGUAUUGUGAAAAGUUGAAGGAGCUACCGGAAGGGCUCAAGUAUAUCACUUCUUUAAAGGAACUGGAAAUCAUACAUAAGAAGAAGGAGUGGGAGACGAAACUCGUACCAGGUGGGGAAAGUUACCACAAAGUCCAACACAUUCCCAGUGUUCAAUUAGACUAUCGUGGCGACGAAUAAGGAGAAUACAACCGUCUCAGGUAUAUAUACUUUUGUUUGGUAUAAUGUCAAUAUUGUUCUCCAUGAAGUUUAGUGUGGAAGUCUCAACUAUCUAACCUUUUUAUUAUUCGGUUUUCAGGUGAACCUACUCAGAAUCAGUACCCACUUAUUGAUUCUGUGAUGUGAUAUAUGUCGUUUUUGUUGUAUUGGUGUGUGAAGUUUACAUAUCUUGUUUGUGAUAUAUUUCGUUUAUCUGUUUGCAUGCUCAUUCACUGUAAUGCUAAGUUUGGAAAUACAUUUGUAUAUCUUCUUCGAUUUCUCCGUUGUGUGUGCCUAGUUGACUUGUAUGGUCGGAAUUUGAGAUAGAACGGUGCUUUGAUAGUGAUCACUGAACAUCAUUCUUAACAUGAUUUUAUCAUUUGGUUUAAGGAAUGUCAAGAGCUUUUAAAUGAAACAUCUAGUUAAUCCGUUUUAACAGAUAUAGAACCUUGGAGUUUAUUGAAACCAAAGUCAAGAGUUUCUCACCACAAUGGGACUCUCCUCACAGUUGAUAUCAAUGGCGCAAUCAAAUCAUAUAUACAACACCUUAGAGGAUUCAAGAAAGUCUCUUGGUUCCAUUCCUUCGCGUCCUGGUUCGCUUUUUUCACUAUUCAAGUGAUCAGCACUUUUGAUUGAAAACUGAUACCACACAGCAUCCACUUGAAACUAAACAUAAAUAUACAACCAAACAGUUACGCAAUGAUAGCUCAACCAGACAGAACCGAACCGAAUCUUAGUUUUGCUUUCCAAAUUUUAAAUAACGGGAUAAACCGGUUGAUUCUCAUCCAGUUCUGUAAUUUGUCUGACACUACUCAAGUGAUCAGCACUUUUGAUUGAAAACUAAUAACACACAGCACCCACUUGAAAGUUGAAACUAAACGCAACUCAAUGAUAAACCGGGAUAAACCGGUUAGUUCUCAUCGAGUUCUGUAAUUUGUCUUUUACUAUCAAACCGGACAAAUUGAUGGUUUAAAAACAAAACUCAGUCUGGAUUAUAAUAAAAUCAGAUCAUGAAACUCUACCAAACAAGAGUCCUUUCGGUCUCUGCAAAUUUGUUUUCGACUCUAAUUGAGAGGAGGAGAAGUCCAGUACUUGAAACGAAUCCAAAAACGCGGUGAUCCGUGCGUUUUCAGACACCAUCGCGACCGUAUGCAUAACUGGGUUAGAGCUUCCUCAUCCGAUUUCACCGGAACUCCUCCACAGCCCAGGAGGUAAAUUAAUUACUUCUUCUCCAUUCAAUUUCCGAUUUUAAUUUCAGCUGAUGAUUUUUAUUCUUCAUCAGUGGACAUACAGCUGUCAAUGUCGGAAAAUCCAUGGUCGUGGUGUUCGGCGGCCUCGUCGACAAGAAGUUCCUCAACGACAUCAUUGUUUAUGACAUUGGUAAUAUUAUACUUCAGCCUAUGAUUAUUGAUUCCUUGAUCCAAAGAAAUGCUUUUUUUUUUUAAUUUCUCUUGAGUUACUGUCUUGGCUUGCUUUGUUUAUAAUGAAAGACUAGUGUUUCUGGUAGUUUAUUUGUCUGUUAAGCUUAGUUAGGCUGAUGCUUCCAUCAAAGAUAGUUACUUUGGAAAAAUUAUAGAAAACUGAAAACUUCACAAUGAAAUUAUUCGAUUCGGUGUUAGUUUUGUUGCUUAGCAUCUUUUGUCCCCUCCUUGGCAUUGUUUUAAUUAUCAUAUGGUCAGCUUUUUUAAUCAUGUGAGAAUCGGUUUGUCUUAUGAUUCGGUCGACUAGAGAACAAACUCUGGUUUGAGCCAGAAUGUACCGGCAGCGUGUCUGAAGGAAAAGUUGGUCCUACACCUCGCGCGUUUCAUAUUGCCAUCACUAUUGAUUGUCAUAUGUUCAUCUUUGGUGGACGUUCUGGUGGCAAGAGGUACUCACUACUAUUUAUUUUCUAGUUAUAAGCGUUUUUGCAUUCUUUUUUCAGUAACUUCUAUAAAUCAAUUUCAGGUUGGGUGACUUCUGGGUUCUAGAUACAGGUAAGUGUACAAUCAUAACAAUGUCACUGAGACCUGCCUGGAACUUUUUAAUACCCUGCUGCUGACAUUUUCUGCAGAUAUAUGGCAGUGGUCUGAGCUAACCAGCUUUGGCGACUUACCUACGCCUCGUGAUUUUUCUGCCGCCGCUGCUAUUGGGAACCAGAAAAUUGUGUUGUGAGUAUUCAGAAAUUUUAGACGUUCAUCAGCUUGUUGCAUGCAUUGGCGUAACCUAUGAUCAUUGGCAGGUGUGGCGGCUGGGAUGGUAAAAAAUGGCUGUCAGAUGUGUAUGUUAUGGACACAAGUAUAUCUCGCCUCUACUUCAGUUUUGUAAUAAAACUGUUUUUAAGUUUAUGAUAAUGUCAGCUUUCUUGGUGUCUGUUAGUGUCUCUUGAAUGGAUGGAGCUGUCGGUUUCGGGGUCGUUGCCGCCUCCUAGAUGUGGCCAUACAGCCACCAUGGUUGAGAAACGUUUACUUGUUUUUGGUGGCCGAGGUAUAACACCAGAACCAGAAUCUUUGUUCUGCUUGAGCUGAUGACAACUAAACUGAGACUAUGGUUAUCUUUGACAGGAGGUGGUGGCCCUAUCAUGGGUGAUCUGUGGGCUUUGAAGGGUCUAAUAGAUGAAGGUUCAUCCUUACCUAAAUUACUUAAAAAUUGCAUUGAAUUAUGUAGAGGAGUAUUCUCUUGAGUUGUCUUUCUUUCUUUUGUUCUGUUUGCUGAUCUUAUUGUGGGGUUUACCUUUGCUGUGGAAGAAAGAACGUGAAACACCUGGAUGGACCCAACUAAAGCUUCCUGGCCAAGCACCAUCAGCUCGAUGUGGUCACACUGUCACAUCCGGAGGACAUUAUGUAUGUCUUUUUCAGCUUCCGUUUGCUCUUUUGUAUAAAUAGGUUCGCAUGACAUACAUCACUCACAUCAUUAAUGUUCAUGUAUGAAGCUUCUGUUAUUUGGGGGACAUGGAACUGGUGGAUGGCUGAGUCGUUAUGAUGUAUAUUAUAAUGACACUAUAAUUUUAGACAGAGGUAAAUUCUUGCUUAUGAGAUUCGUCUCCUCUGCUAAAGGAGCACUCUAAAUCCAAAAAUCCACCUCAGUAAUUUACAAUCUAGUGAGAUGAUAAAAUUGUGAUGUGCUUUAUCAUUUUUCUUGCUGAGCAUUGUUUUCUACGCGUUGUUGCUAAAUUUAUAUUUUCACAUACUAGUAACUGCACAGUGGAAGCGCUUACCAAUAAGCAAUGAUGAACCUCCUCCUCCUCGAGCUUAUCACACCAUGACAAGUAUUGGAGCUCGUCAUCUUUUAAUUGGUGGUUUUGAUGGAAAAUCAACCUUCGGUGAUCUUUGGUGGUUGGUUCCUGAAGGUAUCUUUCUCUUAUUUAUACUGAUGUUUUAGUCCAACUUAGCUAUCAUUCUGUGUACACGCAUCAUCAGUUACUUAUAGUUGGAAACUCUUUAGACGAACUAAUCUUGGUGUUGGUCGCAGAUUGUAGGCAAUUUUAGAGACACUUAAUUUCUAGCAUAAUCUUUUUUUUCUUCUUUAUCAAGUUUGUAUUGAAAGUUUUGAAGUUUUACUGAACUGUUUAGCCUUCUGAAAAUGUUGUUAUUCGUUUUUUUCUUUUUCUCUUUUCUCAGAUGAUCCGAUAGCCAAGAGGUCUUCUGUACCUCAACUUAGAAACCCUCCUGAGACUAAAGAGUCAGAGAGAGAUUUGGAUACGGUAACUGUGGUUCCUGCUCAUCAUCUUAUGUGUUUCUCGCCAAUGCAGUUAAAUUAGCUUUUCAACUUGUUUUAACACCAAGAGUUUGGUCACAGCAGGAAAGAGGACAAGAGGGAUUCACUAUCGUCGACUUGCAAAAGAAAAUGGGAAUCUCUGUUUCUUCAGGGUUACGCCUUCAAAUACCCGAGGAGUUAGAAGAUCAAGAGUUCGUUGAGUUAGGAACCAGAUUGAUUGAGGGAGAUGCAGUUGAUAAUGGAGCCUCCAUGAUUCAGGUGAGUUUUUCCUCUUGUCUAUUUUAGAAUGUGUGAUUGUGUUAUUCUUGUACUGAAAAUGCUUCUCAAUGAAAAGAUGGCAGCUGAAGCACUUCGUCAACAUUGGAAAGAGUCCACUCCAGAGACUUUGCAAUUAAAGGAGCUUGGUUCCUUGCUUCGAGAUUAUCAGCGACUGGUUACCCGAAAAUACACGUGAGUUCUUAUCCAUGCCUAACUAUUUCAGACUCAGUUCUUGUUUAUGUAGAUUAUCUUUUGUUUCACUAAAAAUGGUUGUUCUUUGAUUGCGCUUGGAAUCACCACAUGGCAUUAGAAUAACUUAGAUAAAUCUCCUGAGAGUUUAGGAGUCAUAUAGAGUUAAUAUGAAUAUAUCAUUUUUGUGUCUUGAAUAGCCCUCGAGACUCUUUAAUCCGAGCAUAUUGUCAAAACUGAUAAUGUUGUGAAUGCAUUGUUUUGUGCCCCUACUAUUACAUGUUAUGAAAUCUCACAUCUGCGUCUUCCUUUCCUUGACACAUGUUUCUUUUCAUUUGUUGUGGCGGGUUUCUAUCAGAGCACAGAGCAGCUUAACAUCUGCUGAUUUUGGAAAGAAGACCUUUACGUUUUAUCAUAUCAAAAAUUCUUCCGAGGUAUUACUCUGCAUACUUUCCUCCCUCGCCUGAAUAUUUGACACCAAUCAAUCAAAACAUCAGGCUUUCCUCCUGACAUGUCAAGUUUACAUUUUGCUAUUCUCAGUUGCGGAUGGAUGACAUUCCGGAGUUGCUGGAAGAAUACAAAACCCUUGUAAUCUGAUUGAGGAGCUCUGCCAUGAAACUCACAAGGAGAAUACAAAACUCAUCAAGUAGCUGCCAAGAAGAUCACUGAUAUUACGUGUAUACGCACACCAAGUAACCUAAUGUGCACACUACCACAAUCGAAUGGUAUGUCGAUGUAUCACUUUAGGAUCGAAUCCACAGAGACCAACUAUUACACUUUAUCUUUAUGGGAUCAAUAUCAAGCUAAAACAAUAUGGGGGUUUUAAAGUUGAUUUCGUAACAAGCAAGUAAAAAGAUUAAUUAAAGAUUUCAGAUGAUUAAAAUGCUAGCCUAGGGUGGUUUGGUCGGGUGUUAAGCAAGUGUGAGCCAAACAAUUAUUCAAGUUCAAUUAAGAGCAAGUCUAGAACUCGGAUCACUCAAAUAGAACAAUCCACUGUCGUGGUACUGCCCCCUAUGCUGAUCGAUCUUGAUACCUAAACUCUCGUUUGGAUCAAGAUGCGACAGCAAGCAAUAGAGAUCAAGUCCGAUAUGUUCACAAAACACCCUAAUAUCUACUUUCGCUGAUUAGGGAUGCAAUGCUCAUUCAAGUUAUGUCUAGCAACCUAUAACACUUUUGAUGAAUAGAUUAAACCUAGAAUCAGGCACUAAGUGGUUAACUUGAUGCAAGCCUUAAGAACAACAGUGAAUGAAGACAAUCGAUUUAUAACUUAUUUAUGUCAAGCUCACGGAUCUAACACCCUAACACCCUAGACUAAGCAAGUUGACUACUCAGCCAUGAACAGAGAAAACAUAGAGAUCAAUUCUGAAUAAGACUUCAUGUAAAUAAAAGAGAUAGAAAGAGGGUUCAGGAUAAUCUUCUCUAUGGUGAGAGAGAUGGAGCCUUCUCCCUUUACAAUCCAAAAGCACAAAAGUCUCCAAUGGUUUUCUUCUGUCUAGAAUAGCGUAGAAUGAUAAAGAGAAACAGAAAAUAUGAUAUAUCAAAGCCACAGGCGGCUGGGAGAGAAAAUAGGGAUAAUUAGGGCAAAUCCCGUAAUGAUUGUAGUUUCCUUAAAAAUCUCUGCCGCUGGAACACUCAUUCGGAACAAUCACUCGGGUUGCUCCGCUAUCCGGAACAGUCAUCAAGACUGUUCUGCGUGAAAACCACCAAAUUGCACUGUUUGCUGCCUCUUUUGUUCCAGCUGGUCCAUCUCCCAUCCAAUGCAACUCCAGACCUGUAAUGACUCGAAAAGGACUAGAAAGACUCGAUAAAGACUUGAAAACCAAUUGAAAAGCAUAUAUACAAGAUGUAUAAAACACCAUAUAUCAAUUCCCCCAGACUUAGAUCCUUGUUUGUCCUCAAACAAUGUCAAGUAUCAAGAACAGGGAGAAAGGUUUGAAAGUGUGGGAACUCUCAUAUUCUCAGCAACCAUACUUUAACCACGAAUCUCUGAACCAUACAAGCAGUAAAACUAGGACAACACACCCUUACCGGAACCCCACUGACUGCUGUUCAAAAAUCGGCUCCAUACUCUUCAUCUCAAACCUGAAAAAGCAACACUAUCGAGACAGAACUCCCUACAUUCAUUUAAGAGUAGCGUGAGCUUCUCAUCACAGGCAUCAUUCAGGGUAGACGGUCUAGGUGUGGAACAGGCUAUUUAAUGGUGGAGUUAAGAGUGUUUAGGGGCUACCAUUUCAUUGAAGAGGAUGCAUGAUAUCACACAAAAUGGCAAGAGAGGAUAGAUCCAUUGAUGUCCACAGCCUCUACUCGUUUUUGCUCUAUCUGGUGCGACUGUUCUGAUGACGGAACAGGCAACUGAUUGUUCUGCUUUCCACUUUCCUCUACACACUCUUCAAUACUUGGUACCAACUUCUUGCUCGACCUUUCCAGUGGCUCUAUGUUUCUUUUCUUUCUUUCCCUUCUCCAUCACAUUGUUCUCGUUUUUUUUUUUUUUUUUGAAUACUGAUAUGGUGAUGUGACGAAGAAGGAGGUAAUACAUGAUCGUUCUGAGUGCCACUGGUGGUUCUGAUUUCGCGACCAUUCUGGUUCUCCACCCCUGCUCUUGCGCAGUUCAUUGGUUAUGGAGCGGUUGCUCCCUUAAUCUGCUUGUUCUCCUUUCUGACAAAAUUUCUGCAGCAGUAACGAGUAGGAGGCUGCGUUGAUCCUUUCCUCUCCGACCUUUUUGCACAUAUCUGCACAUAUGACACUGAAAAACAAAUGCAUGAAGGUAGAAUAAAGGCUAAGGUGCAGGGUGGGAACUAGCUAAAGAUGAGCUAGCCACUCAGGAUCAGCAAGAUGGAUAAAAAGGAUAAGAAGUCCUGAGUGUGUUCUCGUUUUCCUGAUCUAAUGCCCAUAACAAGAAGAAUUUUAGUCAAGAUUAGGUUCAAGUAAGGUGGAGUUAUGUCUACCCAGUGUAACCUGAUCGGCUGAGAACUUCUGGAGAAUCAAGUGAGAUAUGUCAGGGUGUUCAAGGUUCACAUGUGUGUCUUUCGCCACUGCUAAGGUCACUAAAUAAGAUAACUAAAGCACGAGGUGGUCAGUGAUCAACACAGAAUAAGGUCUUAAUUCCCACAAAGUUUUGACUGACUUAAUCAUAAAAACUGACUCAAACUGACUUAAAAGAAAAACAAAAGAAAGAAACAAGUUAGUAAACGACGAAAACCCUCCCCCAGACUUACUUCACAACGUCCCUGGUGUGAAAAUAAAUCAGAGAGAAGGACAAAACAAGAAUAAAUAUUUUUUUGUUUGGGUCGAGAUACUUACCUGAGUGGAGCAGGCGCUCCAUGAAAAUUCUGGGUGUUCUAUCGUCAGAUGAUCGCCUGGAACAACCGCUCUUUUCAGGGGAUAGGUUGUUCCGUUUCUGCAACCCAGAAUUUUUGAAGUAUCUCGAAUUUUUUUUGCUUUUUGACCUGAAACUUAAUAAACUAAAACGAAAAUUGAGUAAACAAAAACAAAACCAAGUUAUAUUUACACUUACCAGUGGGUUGCCUCCCACCAGCGCUUGGUUUAAGUCUCUAGCUUGACUUGGUGACUGGGAUCAGUCGGGUUGAGCAGGAGGGCCUGUUCCAAAACAAGCUCCACAAUCAGACAUGUUCAGCUUCAAAACCCUGCUCAACAACCCUUUCACAGCAGCUUCCCCUUUCUCUUUCAGCUCAUGUGUGAGAAUAGCUCUGCUUUAGAGAACGGUUUAGAGGUACCCUUGCACUUUACCUCAUACUCAAUGGAGUUCUCAUCACACUUGAGAGGUAUCAAAGUCACUGUAGGAUCUCCUUGACCCUUUUCUUCUGGACUUUCUGUUUCACCCUUGAAUUCCCUCUGAAUUUAGUAGGAUCAGUGCUAGGAUCUUCAUCAAAGAACAGUCUGCUCUCACCCUUAUCACCAUGCUCCUUCUCUGGAACAACCUUCAGCUUUUCUACAUCAAACACUGAGAUGCGAGAGGCGUGUGAUGAGGAAGAUCUGGUGGGUACAGCCUUGUAGAAUACUUUCUUGUUGAUGUUGGAGAAGCAGACUCUCUUGUUGGGCAUAUCGAUGGUUGCUCCAACAGUAGCCAUGAAUGUCCUUCCAAAUAUCAAAGGCAUCUCAUGAUCUUUGUUCAUCUCAACAACCUGAAACUCAGCAGGAACAAUGCAUUCCCCUACUUGAACAUGAAGGCUGCGGAUGGUUCCAUAUGGGACUGCUCUGGAAGAGUUUGCAAAGGUCAGGGUCAACUGAGAACGCUCAACAUCAGCAAUACCCAAAUCGUCUACAAUAGCCUUUGAGAUGAGAUUCACACAAGAACCAGAGUCACAAAGAGCGUCCUUGAAGGUUGUUCCUGCGAUGGAACAUGGGAAAACAAACUUUCCAGGAUCAUGAACCUUAGGCAAUACCUUCAGUGCUGGCGUAGACAGUGCUCUGGUAUAGAGGACCUUGAUCUCCUCUUGAGUCUCUCUACAGUGUUUAAAGAACUGGAGCAAUGGACGAAUCUGCAGAGCAUCUUCGAAUGCAAGUUCUUUAGGAAGCCUUCUCACCAUCUUGUUAAAACCUAUCAGCUGCUCUUCACUAAUGGGAUCCAUCAGAUGUCUAGGUGGAAUUGGAUAGGGAACCUUGGGAACAUAGACUCGCACUGGUGGAGUUUCAGCAGGUUCGCUAGGAGCAAUCACUCCAGAGCUAGCAGACUGCUCUGUGUUCUCUUCUGCGCCUAGAACAGUCUCAGCGAACGGCUGCUCUAUUGCAUUACAGUGCUCAGUCCUAGGAUUUUUAUCAGUUCUUCCAGGGAGCGUCUCUUGUUGCCUCUUGACACUCUCAACUGUUUGAGCAAGCUGAACAUCGAUCUUUCUUAUAUGGAUUGCAAGAUUGUCAUACUUGUUAUUCAGUUCAGUGAACAUGUUGCCCAUCCUGGUGUCUAUUUCCGUGGUUACCUGAUUCAACACCUUGGCCUGAACCUGCUGACCCUGCAACAGUUGUUGCAUCAUCAUACCCAGACCCUUCAGCUCAUCUGGUUGACUGUUCUCGGUAGCUGGAACAACAUGCGGAUUGCUCUGCGGUUGUCGUUGGUUCAGGUUCUGAAUAUGCCCGGCCGUAGGUUGCUCCAUGCUGAAAACGUGUCCUUGGUUGUUUUUCAGUAACUGAUCAACCUUGGCAGUCAGCUCAUCUAUUUUCUGGGCGUCAGAACUGUUCCCUUUCAUGGAGCGAUCACUCUCCUCUUUCUUAUUAGCUGAGCUAGCAGCCAUGUUCUCAAUCAGCUUAAACGCUCCAGCAGUGGUUUGAGUCAUGAAGUCUCCAUUGCUCGCAGAGUUUAGAGCACCUUGGUAUUUCCAGUCCACUCCAUCAUAGAAAAUAUCCAGGAUAUAAUCAUCAUCAAAUCCAUGGUGAGGACAUUCUCUGCGAUAGUCAUUGAAGCGCUCCCAUGCGUCGCAGAAAAGCUCAUCAGUGAGCUGUCUGAAGGAGGUGAUCUUGUUCCUCAAUGCAGCUGUUCUCGCCUUAGAGUAGAAAUGGCUGAGGAACGCUGAUCGGACCUGUUCCCAUGAAGUGAGAGAGCCGGUAGGGAGAGAGUUCAACCACCGUGCAGCUUUUCCAUCAAGAGAGAAUGGGAAUAACAUGCACGUGAUGUAGUCUGGUGGAACACCAUUCACGCGAGUGAAACUGCAGACUUUUUCGAAGCUCUCAAUAUGCUCCAUUGGAAUUUCUGUAGAGAGACCAGAGAACACCUUUCUCUGUACUAGACCGAUCAAAGCAGGCUUGAUCUCAAAGUCCUGCCUAGUACAAGGUGGAGGAACAAUGGCAGAGCGCGUAGUAGGGAUGUUACGCGGGAGGUUUCUCUGCCCGAUUGGAACAGUCUGCGCCUGUUGUUCCUGCUGCGCGAGAGCAGCCUGUUCAGCAGCAUCCUGCUGAGCUUGGAUGGUCUGCUGCAUUUGUUGCAUCUGCUGCUGCAUGAGUGCCAUAGCCGCAGCGAGAUCAUCUUGAUUGGCGUGAUCACCCAUAGUGGUGUCGGUUUGCCUUGGCUGUUGACGAUUUGUUCUUUCUAACCUUGCUAGCUCCUGGUUGGUAAAUGUAACUAACUCUCCUUGUGCGUUUCUUCGAGUAUGUCUACUGGUCAUGCACCUGGAACAUUAGCUGCAACAAAAAGGAUAAGGCAAGUUAGAGGUCUUAGACUAAAUAAAUAACCGAAAAAUAAAGGUAAAAAGAUGGUCCCCGGCAACGGCGCCAAAUUGAUAUUACGUGUAUACGCACACCAAGUAACCUAAUGUGCACACUACCACAAUCGAAUGGUAUGUCGAUGUAUCACUUUAGGAUCGAAUCCACAGAGACCAACUAUUACACUUUAUCUUUAUGGGAUCAAUAUCAAGCUAAAACAAUAUGGGGGUUUUAAAGUUGAUUUCGUAACAAGCAAGUAAAAAGAUUAAUUAAAGAUUUCAGAUGAUUAAAAUGCUAGCCUAGGGUGGUUUGGUCGGGUGUUAAGCAAGUGUGAGCCAAACAAUUAUUCAAGUUCAAUUAAGAGCAAGUCUAGAACUCGGAUCACUCAAAUAGAACAAUCCACUGUCGUGGUACUGCCCCCUAUGCUAAUCGAUCUUGAUACCUAAACUCUCGUUUGGAUCAAGAUGCGACAGCAAGCAAUAGAGAUCAAGUCCGAUAUGUUCACAAAACACCCUAAUAUCUACUUUCGCUGAUUAGGGAUGCAAUGCUCAUUCAAGUUAUGUCUAGCAACCUAUAACACUUUUGAUGAAUAGAUUAAACCUAGAAUCAGGCACUAAGUGGUUAACUUGAUGCAAGCCUUAAGAACAACAGUGAAUGAAGACAAUCGAUUUAUAACUUAUUUAUGUCAAGCUCACGGAUCUAACACCCUAACACCCUAGACUAAGCAAGUUGACUACUCAGCCAUGAACAGAGAAAACACAAAGAUCAAUUCUGAAUAAGACUUCAUGUAAAUAAAAGAGAUAGAAAGAGGGUUCAGGAUAAUCUUCUCUAUGGUGAGAGAGAUGGAGCCUUCUCCCUUUACAAUCCAAAAGCACAAAAGUCUCCAAUGGUUUUCUUCUGUCUAGAAUAGCGUAGAAUGAUAAAGAGAAACAGAAAAUAUGAUAUAUCAAAGCCACAGGCGGCUGGGAGAGAAAAUAGGGAUAAUUAGGGCAAAUCCCGUAAUGAUUGUAGUUUCCUUAAAAAUCUCUGCCGCUGGAACACUCAUUCGGAACAAUCACUCGGGUUGCUCCGCUAUCCGGAACAGUCAUCAAGACUGUUCUGCGUGAAAACCACCAAAUUGCACUGUUUGCUGCCUCUUUUGUUCCAGCUGGUCCAUCUCCCAUCCAAUGCAACUCCAGACCUGUAAUGACUCGAAAAGGACUAGAAAGACUCGAUAAAGACUUGAAAACCAAUUGAAAAGCACAUAUACAAGAUGUAUAAAACACCAUAUAUCAAUCACCAAGAUUGCUAUCAGCAUUACCAUUGCAAACCACAAAGCUAAAAAGUCUCAAGAGAAUCACAUCUCUGAUAGACAACUAUGUGCAACUUCUUUUUAGCAAGAACAAAAAGAUACAACGUAUAUGUAAGACUUCCAUUAUCUCAACUUAAAUCCAUAUCUAAGCCUCUGCUCUUUUAUUUCUUGUUUGGGCUUUGAAAAUAGAUUGCUUUGCCUUGAAGCCAAUGCGAAAGUAAGGAAAAAAGUAGGCAAACUUCAUCUAUUAGACUUUGAAAUGGAUUACAACAACAACGGUACUCUUGAUAACUUAAACCACAGAGUUUCUGUCUGCAUAGACCCGUAUUGUCUUUUCUCUAUCCCCUAAAACAACUCGAACUCAAGAUGAUCUCCCAUGGCUUUACAUUCAAGAUAUCCAUUACCAUUUCCUUUAGGAGAAGUUGCUUCCGUUGCACCAUUCUCAUAUACAUCAGGCAGAUCAGGCGGAAUGGCGCAGCGGAUGAGAGCCCAGUUCAAUCCUUCAAAGAAUGGAUGCCUCUUGAUCUCUGCAGCUCCUUUCUCCCACCCGAGGCGGCUCCCCGGAUCCUUCAUCACCAACCUUCUGAUCAAAUUCUUUGCCUGGAAGCUCACAAGAGGGCUAUCAGGAAACUUGAGGUUCUGAAACACAAACGUCUCCUCAUUGUCAUAACCUUUGAACGGUGUCUUCCCGUAUAAAAGCUCAUAGAGAAGAACCCCAAACGUCCACCAGUCUACUGCAGCACCGUGACCUUCUCCUUAAUGAUCUCCGGCGCCAAGUACUCGUGCGUUCCUACAAAAGAGUUUGAUCUUGCUUCAGUUGGUUCAGCCACAAGCUGAGGCAAUGAUCUGAACUGUUGGGUCAGAAGAUCAGGCCUUCUCUGUUUUCUUGGUUUUGAGUUUCUAGCUUGCGUUGACAAGAGCCUAGGGCUGAAACAUGGGACACGGCACGAUGGACUCUAUCUAAAUCACAGGUUCUUCAUCUUCUUUGGAAGCUGAGGAGCUUGAUACAAUAAUUGAAGACGAAGACAAACAGCAGUAUCCAGGCGAUGUGCACCGCAGCUACAGCUGGUAAGAAGUCAUGUUCGAACCCGGAUCCAUCUUUGAGCAACUGUUUUAGUUCCGUGUCUAGGAGACCAGUGUUCUGCACUAUCGAAUCUUGGUCUCCUACUUGAGAUGUGAUGCUUCCAUACAAUGUCCAGCCACUGGCGUUGCCUAGUAAUUAAUAUCAUCUCCACCAUAUCAAUAUUUGCUGCAUCCCCUCCUCCAUAAGAAACAUAAAACAUAAAAGUUAGGUAGCUCUAAAACACUUCUGAUCAUAACAAAAAGUAAGAUCUAUAACACACUUGAUGAUUACGUAAGUUGGUUCGUAAUUUUUACCAAUCUUUGGGAUGAGGAACUGGAGAAAAGAUUCCAAAUAGACCGAGGAAGAAAGACAUGCAGAUUCCGGAGAUUUGAUAGUUUGGUGUCAAGGCCACAAAGCAUCAAGCUUGGUAACAUGUCGUAGUAGUAGAAGUAGAACCAGAAGAACUUGACCACAGUACGGUCGUAUCCUAUCAUUGAGUAAAGGAUUAUAGUAUGUAAACUCUAGUUUGUAUGGUGUCAUACUACAUGAUCUAACAACUUUGUCUAUAUUAUCAAUUUUCCUAAUUAAUUAUUUCUAACAAAAAUAUAAUUUUUAAAUAUUAACGAAUAUAUUUUGGAAGUUGAAAAUAAGGUAGAAAUUUUGUACAAAAGGGAAGGAAGGAUAUGGGGGAAUUAUUUGCCUGCGAAAAGUCAUUAUCCCUUACAGACUAGAAAAGUCGCAUAUUUUCUUUUUAUUCAAAAUCAGAACCACAGAUGGCAGCCAAUAUAGACUGUUGAUAAGAUUGACUUGGAGUCAACUCUUUCAUUGCCAUUCAUAUCUCUUCUUCCAAAGAACGUCUCUAAGCAAGUUGAAGAGCUGUUACAUGAAAGGUAAAUCAUGUUCUUGUAUCAUUAUUUGUCUGUUUAACUUGCUUUGAUCUGUCUUUUGGACUCUGUUGUGGUUGAAUCUGAAUUUAAAAACGAAAAUUCGUUGGAUUAUUACAAAUCUUGUUUUACGAAUUUAAACCAUUUAAUCAUCAAAUCUUGUUAUAAAUUGUUUGAAUAAAAGUAAGUUAAGUAAAGUUCCUCUGACAUGUAUCAUGUUUUAUUAGAUCAACCAAGGAUUAUCAUAAACGGUUUUAAAUCGUACUACAAGUUUGUACUUAUGUGUUGUGUUGAUGGUGGAACAGGAGAAUAGUGAUGGCUGAGGGAGUUGUGUCGUUUGGAGUGGAGAAACUCUGGGAUCUCCUCAGUCGAGAAUCAGAGAGACUGCAGGGAGUUCAUGAGAAAGUUGAUGAUCUAAAAUGUCAGAUGAGAAUGUUACAGUCGUUGUUGAAAGAUGCAGAUGCCAAGAAAUAUGAGAGUGUGGUGAGAAACUUCUUGGAAGAUGUCAAAGACACUGUUUUUGAUGCUGAAGACAUAAUUGAAUCCUUUCUUUUGAAAGAAUUGAGUAGAAACCAAAAAGGGAUCAAGGGGCGUGUGAAAAGACUUGCUUGUUUCUUAGUGGAUCGCCGAGGUCUUUCUAUGGACAUUGAAGGCAUAACUAAGAGAAUGGCCAAGGUUGUUGGGCAAAUGCAAAGCUUUGGAAUACAACAGAUCAUCUACAGAUCACCGUCUCUACAAGAGAGACAGAGGGAGAUCCAACAAACAUAUCCUAUGGGAUCUCAAAAGGAUCUUGUGGGGGUGGAACAGAGUGUUAAAGAAUUGGUUGGUCAUUUGGUGGAGAAUGAUAACAUCCAAGUAGUUUCCAUAUCUGGGAUGGGUGGUAUUGGAAAAACCACUCUUGCCAGACAAGUCUUACAUCAUGACAUUGUUCAAAGUCAUUUUGAUGGAUUCGCAUGGAUCUGCGUUUCGCAAGAUUGUAAGCGGAUGGAUAUUUGGCAAAAGUUAUUGCAAGACCUUAGACCUCAAGAUAAGGGCAUCGAACAAAUGAAUGAGCCUACACUCCAGGCUAAGAUCUUUCACUUGUUGGAAACAUCUAAAUAUUUAAUUGUCAUGGAUGAUGUAUGGAAAAAAGAAGACUGGGAUAUAAUAAAAGGCGUUUUCCCCCAAGAAAGAGGUGAGCUCUCUAAUUGUACAUACAUUACUUACGAACUCUCCAUAGCUAUUUCAUAAAUGCCUUUUCAGUCUCUGAGAUGAAAGGAAAUACAAUUGCAGGUUGGAAAAUGAUUCUUACUUCACGUGAUGAAAGUGUUGGUUUCCAUGCAGACCGAACAUGUUUUCCCUUUAGACCAAAAACUCUUACUCCUGAAGAAAGUUGGAAGCUAUGUGAAAGCAUAGCAUUCCCUAGACGAGAUAUAACCGGUACGUUUUUAUAUAAGAAUCAUAUGAAUCCUUAAGGCCAGAAAGCUUGAUAUCUCUUACGGACCUUCUAAUCAAAAUUCUUGUGUUGUAAUUCCUAAAUCAUCCUCUGGGAUUACAUAUAUGGUUCCAAUGUUUAAAAAAUCGAUUUAUUCUAACAUUAUCUCUUAAUUUAAUUUAUUUAGAUUAAUUUAUAAUGAUUUAAACCGAUUUGAAUUGUAUAAAUUGGUAUAAAUCAGAUUUUAAGAAAAUCGUUUCGAUGGGACAAAGUUAGCCUAUGUGCCGCCUAGACCAAUUUUUAGAACAUUGUAUGGUUGUAUAUACCUUUGAGAAACAUUAUAGCAUUUCAUUUAUGUCAUAUGUCAUCAGCAAUGUUUUAAAAACCGGAUCAGACAUUGAUUCGGCAUUGUAGCUGCGUAAAUGGUCAGAUCGGUGCAAUUAGUUCAACUGACUUCUAAAUUUAAUUUAAUUUUAAAUUCAGUAACUACAUCUAUGUAUAAUAAAAUUGUUCUUAUAAAACUUUAUUUCAUUGUUAAUAUCUAAAAGAUCUUAUGAAAAUAAAAUGACAACUUCAAAAAUAAUAUAAACUAUAAUGAAACUAAUUGAUUUAGAUAGAUAUUAAAAACAAUAUGAAAUCUUUUUAAAAUUUGCAAAUUUUUAUUUUUAAACUUGAAUUUGAGAAAACUUGAUUUUAAUAUCGAACCAGAUUACCGGUUUUAGCAAAUUUGAACAGUUUAUGACAUGGUUUACCGGUUUAAUUCAAAUUCAGUUUUAAUACAACUCAAAACCGGCUAGAAUAACGAGUCAAGGUCCAACCGGGCAAUCCGGUUUUCAAAACACUAGUCAUCACCAUAAUGAUUCUUUUUUUUUAGAGAAAUAUGUUAGCCAUCUAAACAUAUAAUAUAAUACUCAUUAAACUAAAUAUUAAAUUAAUUAUUAAUGUACAAAACAUAUUAUUCCUUCUUUGCUUAAGUAUAAGCUACAAAAUUACAUAAUGUGAUAAAUAUAUAUAAGGAGUUUUCUUGCGCCAUGCGCAAAUAUACUAAUUUUUAGCUAAAUUUUUAUUUAUUUUAUUUUAAAUAAAAAUAAAUUUACGUUUUCAUACUAUUAUUUUUAUAUUUUAAAUUCAUCGGUCUGGAAAAGAGUGAAAUCACAACUAUUUUUUUGUAAUUUUGUUUCAUUUGAUUUGUUUUAUUUAUUUUAAUUUUAUUUUAUAUGAAUUUUAUUGGAGAAGAAUUAUAUUUUAUAUAACUUUGAAUUUUAUUUAUUUAUAUUUAGUGAUUAUUUAUUUUGAAUAUGUUUCUUAUCCUCUAAGUGUAUAAAUUUUAAUAAUGAUUGGGUUUCUGUUUAAAUGUAUAGCUAAUAUGUUAAACUCGUAAACUCAAUUUCUUAAUUAAUCAAAUAAACUAAUGGAUGCUAAUAAAAUUUUAAACAUUUAAUCAUCCAAAAAAAUUGAUUAGCAUUGCUUUAGUUUUGUGUUCCCUAAUGCACACUUACACUUUAUUUUAAUAAAAUAUAAAAUAUAUAUAGAAAAUAUGAUAAAUAAGUUAAUUUAAAAUUAAAAUAUAAUUAUAUUUAGUUUAUUUUUAUAAAUAUGAUAUAUAUAAUUUUAUUUUAUUUCAAUGGUGAUAUAUGAAUUAUUAGUUAUUAAUAUAUUUUAAAAGUCUUGCCAAAAUAAACAUUUACACAGAAAUGCUAACUUCUAAAUAGUGAUAUAAACAUUAUUAGUCAUUACCAUUUUUAUAAAUUCUUACUAGAAAUAUAUAAAUUUGUAAAAGUUAUUAUUAUUACCAUAUUUAAAAGUCUUUAACAAAAAUAUAAAUUUUUAUAAGAAAAUUUUCAUGUCAAAUUAACUUGAUCUCAUGUCAUUAUUUUCUAAAAACAUGUCAUUUUUUUGGGUGAGAAUGAACACUGUGAUGACAUGUGUACAAAACCACUUUGCAAUUAAUAUUUAGGAGAUACUACAAUCAAUGACUUUGAAUAAUAAUGAUUUGAUAACAAUUUGUGUAUCAUCUAUCAUCUUUAUUUAAUUUUAUAUUAUUAAAAUAAAUUAAUUAAUCAUAUUAAUCAUCUAAUAAAAAUAGAUUUUCCUUAUAUUUUGAAUUUUAAAGAUGACUAUAAAUUACUAAAAUUGUUAAAAUUAAUGGUUUAAUUUUAUUAUUAUAAUAAGAUACAAAUGAUCAUAAGAACUUAUGAAUAUGAAAUUUCAUUUAAUAGAACUGUAGAUUAAAAAAAAAAUAUAUAUAUAUAUAUAUAUCUAUUUCAAUAUCGUUUAAAUUUAGCUGUAUAUAUAUAUAUAUUUUUUUUUCUGAACAUUUGAAAAGACUAGAGACAUUAUUUCAAGGCUCUAAUGUUAUAAUAUGUGUUACUGUUUUCAGAAUUUAUUGUUGAUGAAGAACUAGAAGCCAUGGGUAAGAAAAUGGUCACACAUUGUGGAGGACUACCAUUAGCCGUUAAAGUGUUGGGAGGCUUGUUAGCUAAUAAAAGCAUGGUUGAAGAGUGGAAAAGAGUAGAUGACAAUAUUCAAAGUCAGAUAGUUCGCAUAGAUGACAACAGUCAAGAUUCGGUUUACCGAGUAUUGUCUAUGAGCUAUGAAGACUUGCCAAUGCAGUUAAAGCAUUGCUUCCUCUACCUAGCUCAUUUUCCUGAAGAUGACAAGAUACAAAUGGACAUAUUAUAUUAUCUAUGGGCAGCAGAAGGCAUAAUAAAGUCAAGUGGCGAUGGAGAAACCACUUGGGAAAUUGGAGAAGACUACAUAGACGAGCUAGUACGGAGAAAUAUGAUUAUUGGAGUAAAAGAGGAAUUGAGUUGCAGAUGGGCGUAUUGUCAAAUGCAUGACACGAUGAGAGAAGUAUGUUUAUAUAAAGCCAAAGAAGAGAACUUUCUUCAGAUUAUCAAAGUCCCUACUUCUUCUAUGUCUACCAUCAAUGCUCUUACUCCUACCAGAUCUCGCAGACUCGUAGUACACGGUGGUGGUAAUUCACUUGAUAUGCUGGGAGGUAAAAACAAUCAAAAAGCUAGAUCUGUUUUGGGUUUUGGACUCGACAGCAAAUCGUCGAAGCAGUCAGGUCAAGGACUCAGAAAUUUACAAUUACUUAGGGUCUUGGAUUUGAGUUUAGAUUAUAAAAGCGGCGACUCUAGAGGGUGGAGAAUACCAUCCAGCUUUGGAAAGCUCAUUCAUUUGAGAUAUUUGAGCUUACACAUGCGUUGGGCAACUGAUGUACCUUCUUCUUUACGGAAAUGAAAUACUUCAUCUGCCAAGUAUCUUUAAAGAGAUGGUAGAGUUGAGGUUCCUGCAGCUUUAAAGAGAUGGUAGAGUUGAGGUUCCUGCAGCUUCCCCUUCUUCUUGACGCUAAAACAAAGUUGGAAUUGGGCAAUCUAGUGAACCUGGAGUGCUUGGGCUGGUUCCAAUCAGAAAACGGUAGCAUCACAGACUUCCUCCGAAUGAAAAAGCUCAGGACUCUCCACAUAAAACUCAAAGGCAGGUAUACUUCUGAAACUCUAGCGUCAUCUCUCUGUGAAUUAAGAAACCUGGAGGAGCUUAGAUUGAUCGAUGAGAACAACGAAUCCGAUGGGGCUUAUGAUUUGGAUUUCGUUUGGAAUUUCAUUCAUCUAAGGGAAUUAUGGAUGGGUAUACAUAUGACAAGGCUCCCUGAUCACUCUCGAUUGCCUCCCAACCUUGCACACAUAUGUCUAAUUAAAUGUGAAUUGGAGGAUGAUCCACUGCAGAUUCUGGAAAAGUUGCUUCAUUUGAAGUCGGCUGUAUUACAUUACAGAUCUUUCGUGGGGAGGAAGAUGGUGUGUUCAAAAGGUGGAUUCCCUCAAUUAUGUAAGCUAGACAUAAUGUUCCUACACGACUUGGAAGAGUGGAUAGUCGAAGAAGGGUCGAUGCCAUGUCUUCGUACCUUGUCUAUUCAAAGUUGCUACCGGAAGGGCUCAAGUAUAUCACUUCUUUAAAGAAACUGGAAAUCAUACAUAAGAACAAGGAGUGGAAGACGACACUCGUACCAGGUGGGGAAAGUUACCACAAAGUCCAACACAUUCCUAGUGUUCAAUUAAACUAUUUUGGCCACGAAUAAGGAGAAUAAAACUGUCUCAGGUAUAUAUUCUUUUUUGGUAUAAUGUCAAUAUUGUUCAUUUUGUUGGUUAUAUAUCCUCCUUGAAGUUUAGUGUGAAAGUCUAAACUCUCUGUUAUUCGGUUUUCAGGUGAACCUACUCAGGAUCAGUACCCACCACUAUCGAUUGUGUGAUAUGAUAAUAAGUCGUUUUUGUUGUAUGAAGUUUACAUAUCUUGUUUGUGAUAUAUUCCGUAUAUCUAUUUGCAUGCUCAUUCACUCGUCUCAUAAGAUUCUUCUCCUCUGCUAAAGGAUCACUCUAAAUCCAAAAAUCCACUUCAUUAAUUUACAAUAGUACAAUACUAGUGAGAUGAUAAAAUUGUGAUGUAAAUUAUCCUUUUUCUUGCUGAGCAUUGUCUUCUAUGCGUUGUUGCUAAAUUUUUAUUUUUCACAUACUAGUAACUGCGCAGUGGAAGCGCUUACCGAUAAGCAAUGAUGAGCCUCCUCCUCCUCGAGCUUACCAUACAAUGACUAGUAUUGGAGCUCGUCAUCUUUUAAUUGGUGGUUUUGAUGGAAAGUCAACCUUCGGUGAUCUUUGGUGGCUGGUUCCUGAAGGUAUUAAACUCUUAUUUGUACUAAUGUUUUACUCCAACUUAGCUAUCAUUCUGUGUACAUGCAUCAUCAGUUACAAUCUCGGUGCUGGUCACAGAUUAUAGGCAAUUAGAGACACUUAAUUUCUAGCAUACUCUUUUUUUUCUUCUUUAUCAAGUUUGUAUUGAAAGUUUUGAAGUUUUACACAUCUGAUUGAAUUUACUGAACUGUUUUAGCCUUCUGAAAAUGUUGUUAUUCGUUGUGAAAGAAAGAAAUGGAUUAAAGAAAGAAAUGUUGUUAGCGAUCUAACUCUUUUUCUCUUUUCUCAGAUGAUUCCAUAGCCAAGAGGUCUUCUGUACCUCAAAUUAGAAACCCUCCUGAGACUAAAGAGUCAGAGAGAGAUUUGGAUACGGUAACUGUGGUUCCUGCUCAUCAUCUUAUGUGUUUCUCGCCAAUGCAGUUAAAUUAGCUUUUCAACGUGUUUUAACACCAAGAGUUUGGUCACAGCAGGAAAGAGGACAAGAGGGAUUCACUAUCGUCGACUUGCAAAAGAAAAUGGGAAUCUCUGUUGCAUCAGGGUUACUACGCCGUCAUAUCCCCGAGGAGUCAGAAGAUCAAGAGUUCGUUGAGUUAGGAACCAGAUUGAUCGAGGGAGAUGCAGUUGAUAAUCGAGCCUCCAUGAUUCAGGUGAGUUUUUCCUCUUGUCUAUUUUAGAAUGUGUGAUUGUGUUAUUCUUGUACUGAAAAUGCGUCCCAAUGAAAGGAUGGCAGCUGAAGCACUUCGUCAACAUUGGAAAGAGUCCACUCCAGAGACUUUGCAGUUAAAAGAGCUUAAUGCCUUGCUUCGAGAUUAUCAGCGACUUGUUACCCGAAAAUACACGUGAGUUCUUACUCAUUCCAACUAUUUCAGACUCAGUUCUUGUUUAUGUAGAUUAUCUUUUAUUUCACUAAAAAUAGUUGUUCUUUGAUUGCGCUUGGAAUGGCAUUAGAAUAACUUAGAUAAAUCUCCUGAGAGUUUAGGAGUGUUAUAUAGAGUUAAUAUGAAUAUCAUUUUUUGUGUCUUGAAUAGCCCUUGAAACUUUUUAAUCCAAGAAUUGCCAAAACUGAUUCAUUUCUUAAUGUUGUGAAGUCCUCACAUAAAAGUUGAUUGUAAAUGCAUCGCUUUGUACCCCUCUGAAAAGUAUUAAAUGUCAUGAAAUCUCACAUCUGCUUCUCCCUUUCCUUCACACGUUUGUUUUCAUUUGUUGUGGCGGGUUUCCAUCAGAGCACAGAGCAGCUUAACACCUGCAGAUUUUGGAAAGAAGACCUUUACGUUUUAUCAUAUCAAAACUUCUUCCGAGGUACUUCUGCAUACUUUCUUCCUGUUAUUAGCUUUAUUGAACAUUUGACACCAAUCAAUCAUACAUCAGGCUUUCCUCUGACAUGUCAAGUUUUCAUUUUGCUAUUCUCAGUUACGGAUGGAUGACAUCCCCAAGUUGCUGGAAGAAUACAAAACCCUUCUAAUCUGAUUGAGGAGCUCUACCAUAAAACUCACAAGGAGAUAUACUAAAACCCUUCUAAACUCAUCAAGUAGCUGCCAAGAAGAUCACCAAGAUUGCUAUCAGCAUUACCAUUCGCAAACAACAAAGCUAAAAAUUCUCAAAAGAAUCAUCUCUGAUAGACAACAAGACAUGUACAACUUCUUCUUAGUCAAGGACAAAAACAUAUACCCAUAUGUAAGAUUUUCAUUAUUUCUACUUAAAUCCAUAUCUCAGCGUCUGCUCUUUGCUUUAAAGCCAAUGGGAAAGUAAGGAAAAAAGUAGGCAAACUUCACCUCUUAUACUUAGAAAUGGAUUACUACAACAACAACGGUACUCUUGAUAACUUAAACCAUAGAGUUUCUGUCUGCUUAGACCCGUAUUGUCUUUUUUCUCUAUCCCCUAAAACAACUCAAACUCAAGAUGAUCUCCCAUGGCUUUACAUUCAAGAUACCCAUUACUAUUCCCUUUAGGAGAGGUUGCUUCAGUUGCACCAUUGUCAUAUACAUCAGGCAGCUCAGGGGGAAUGGCGCAGCGGAUGAGAGCCCAGUUCAAUCCUUCAAAGAAAGGAUGCCUCUUGAUCUCAGCAGCUCCUUUCUCCCACCCGAGACGGCUCUCCGGAUCCUUCAUCACCAACCUCCUGAUCAAAUCCUUUGCCUGGAAGCUCACAAGAGGGCUAUCAGGAAACUUAAGGUUCUGAAACACAACGUUGGACAAUGUCUCCUCAUUGUCAUAACCUUUAAACGGUGUCUUCCCGUAUAAAAGCUCAUAGAGAAGGACCCCAAAAGUCCACCAGUCUACCGCAGCACCAUGCCCUUCUCCUUUUAUUAUCUCCGGCGCCAAGUACUCGUGCGUUCCUACAAAAGAGUUUGAUCCUGCUUCGGUUGGUUUAGCCACAAGCUGAGGCAAUGAUCUGAACUGUUGGGUCAGAAGAUCAGGCCUUCUCUGUUUUCUUGGUUUCGAGUUUCUAGCGCAUUGAUGGGAGCCUAGGGCUGAAACAUGGGAAGCAGGUUCUUCACAGGUUCUUCACCUUCUUUGGAAGUUGAGGAGCUUGAUACAAUAAGCGAAGACGAAGACAAACAGCAGUAUCCACGCGCAGCUACAGCUGGUAAGAAGUCAUGUUCGAACCCGGAUCCAUCUUUGAGCAACUUUUUUAGACCCGUGUCUAGGAGACCAGUGUUCUGCACUAUCGAAUCUUGGUCUCCUACUUGAGAUUUGAUGCUUCCAAACAAUGUCCAGCCCACUGGUCGUUGCCUAGUAAUAUCAUCUCCACCAUAUCACCAACAAUAAACAUUUUCGAAACUACCCUCCCUCUCCCCUCUCCCAAUAAAAAAAACACAAAACUUAAAAAUUAGGUAGCUCUAAAACCCUUCUGAUCAUAACAAAAAGUAAGAUCUAAACACACUUGAUGAUUACGUAAGUUGGUUCGUAAUUUUUUACCAAUCUUUGGUAUAAGGAACUGGAGAAAAGAUUCCAAAUAGACUGAGGAAGAAAGACAUGCAGAUUCCGGAGAUUUGAUAGUUUGGUGUCAAGGCCACAAAGCAUCAAGCUUUGUUAACAUGUAGUAGUAGUAGUACCAGAAGAACUUGACCACAGUACGGCCGUAUCCUAUCAUUGAGUAAAGGAUUAUAGUAUGUAAACUCUAGUUUGUAUGGUGUCAUACUAAUAACUUUGUCUAUAUUACCAAUUUUCCCAAUUUCUUAUUUCUAACAAACUAUAAUGUAUAAAUAUCAAUGAAUAUAUUUUGCAAGUUGAAAAUAAGGGAGAAAUUUUUUUUACCAAAAAGAAUAAUAAGGGAGAACUACAGUGAAUGUUUCGAGUGGGCCUAAAGCAAAUGCAUUAUUGCCUUGCGAAAAAAUCAUUAUCGCCACAGACUAGAAAAAACUCCUAUUUUCUUUUUAUUCAAAAUUAGAACCACAAGAUGGCAGUCGUAGACUGAUAAGAUUGACUUGGAGUCUACUCUUUCAUUGCCACUCAUAUCUUUUCUUCCAAAGAACGUCUCUAAGCAAGUUGAAGAGCUGUUACAUGAAAGGUAAAUCAUGUUCUUGUAUCAUUAUUUGUAUGUUUAACUUGCUUUGAUCUGUCUUUUGGACUCUGUUGUGGUUGAAUCUGAAUUUAAAAACGAAAAUUCGUUAGAUUAUUACAAAUCUUGUUUUACGAAUUUAAAGCAUUUAAUCAUCAAAUCUUGUUAUAAAUUGUUUGAAUAAAAGUAAAGUUCCUCUAACAGGUAUCAUGUUUUAUUAGAUCAACCAAGGAUUAUCAUAACGGUUUUAAAUCUUACUACAAGUUUGUACUUAUGUGUUGAUGAUGGUGGAACAGGAGAAUAGUGAUGGCUGAGGGCGUUGUGUCGUUUGGAGUGGAGAAACUCUGGGAUCUCCUGAGUCGAGAAUCUGAGCGAUUGCAGGGAGUUCAUGAGAAAGUUGAUGAUCUAAAAUGUCAGAUGAGAAUGUUACAGUCGUUGUUGAAAGAUGCAGAUGCGAGGAAACAUGAGAAUGAAGUAGUGAGAAACUUCUUGGAAGAUGUCAAAGACAUUGUUUUUGAUGCUGAAGACAUAAUCGAAUCCUUUCUUUUGAAAGAAUUGAGUGGAAACCAAAAAGGGAUCAAGAGGCGUGUGAAAAGACUUGCUUGUUUCUUAGUGGAUCGCCGAGGUCUUUCUAUGGACAUUGAAGGCAUAAUUAAGAGAAUGUCUAAGGUGGUUGCACAAAUGCAGAGCUUUGGUAUACAGCAUAGCGUCAACAGAUCACCGUCUGUACAAGAGAGGCAAAGGGAGAUCCGACAAACAUAUCCUAAGAGGUCUCAAAAGGAUCUCGUGGGGGUGGAACAGAGUGUUAAGGAACUAGUUGGUCAUUUGGUGGAGAAUGAUAGCAUCCAAGUAGUUUCCAUAUCUGGGAUGGGUGGUAUUGGAAAAACCACUCUUGCAAGACAAGUCUUUCAUCAUGACAUUGUUCGAAGUCAUUUUGAUGGAUACGCGUGGAUCUGCGUUUCGCAAGAUUUUAAGCGGAAGGAUAUUUGGCAAAAGUUAUUGCAAGACCUUAGACCACAUGAUAAGGGCAUCGAACAUAUGAAUGAGAAUACACUCCAGGCUGAGCUCUUUCACUUGUUGGAGACGUCUAAAUAUUUAAUUGUCAUGGAUGAUGUAUGGAAAAAAGAAGAUUGGGAUGCAAUAAAAGACGUUUUCCCCCAAGAAAGAAGAGGUGAGCUCUCUUAUUGUACAUACAUUACUUAAGAACUCCCCAUAACCACAUUUCAUAAAGGGCAAUUGUCAAUAAUAGCACAUUUUGAAGUUUAUGUCACAAAAAGAGCACUAGAAGGAGAAAAUCACAAAAAUGACAUUCAUUAAAGGGUAAAAUGUCCCUAAUAUCCUUGGUUUAAAUUAAAUAAACAAACAAAAAUAAAUAAAUAAAUAAAUAAAAAAUAAAAAAAUAAAAAAAAAUAAAAAAAUAAAAAAAAUAAAAAAAAAUUUAUAGUUUCAGAUUAUAUGUUUUCAGAUUCGAAAUUUUUAUAAUUUUUUUAAAAAAAAUUUUGAAUUUUUUUUUUAUUUUUUUUUUCAAAUUUUCUUUUUAUAGUUUAAAAAUAAUUUUUGAAACUGUUUUAUAAAUUUUUAUUUUUUAUUUUAGUAUUUAUUUUUUAUAAAAUUUUAAACCCUAAUUCCAAAACCCCACCCCCUUAACUCUAAACCCUAAGGUUUGGAUUAAUUAACCCAAGGGGUAUAAGUGUAUAUUUACCUCUUUAAUGAAACCUAUUUUUGUGACUUUGAGCCUUGAGUGCUACUUUGGGAACAAAAACUUGGUUUGGUGCUAUCCUAGUCUUUUUCUCUUUCAUAAAUGCCUUUUGAGUCCCUGAGAUGAAAGGAAAUACAAUUGCAGGUUGGAAGAUGAUUCUUACUUCACGCGAUGAAGGUGUUGGUUUGCAUGCAGACCCAACAUGUUUUCCUUUUAGACCAAAACCACUUACUCCCGAAGAAAGUUGGAAGCUAUGUGAGAGCAUAGCAUUCCCUAGAAAAGAGAUAACGGGUAAUGUUUUUAUAUAAGAAUCAUAUGAAUCCAGAAUCCUUAAGGCCAGUAAUUUCUUACGGCCGGGACAUCUUAUCAAAAAUCUUGUGUAUUAAUUCCUAAAUCCGCAUGACAUAUAUUAUUACAUAUACCUUUGAGAAACAAUAUACCAUCAAUACUAUUAAAACAGAAGACCUUUUUUUGAGGUGCUCUUCUGUUUCAACAAUAUUUUCAGAUCUUUGCCACUGAAAUAUUUAAAACUUAUGAUUUUAAUUAAAUUCUGAAUUUUCUUUUAUUUAUACAACAGAAAAUCUAAUAAUGAAUCAACACGUUAUUAAAGUAAACCGACUUAUUUAAUAUUUUACCAAAAAAAAAAAAGUAAACCGACUUACCCAACGAACGUAAACCAACCAACAUACUUAACAAUAAAAUAAAGUGUUAUGCUGGUUCAAUCCAUCGAAGUAUAAAUUAUAAACUACAUGAUUCUAUAUACUUAACACGUCUUUAACUUGAUAUCAAGUAUAUAAACAAACAAUUUACAGCAUUUCAAUUCCUAUAGGAUACCGGUUCAAAUGUUCUAUAGAAAACUAAAUCGACGUUGGUAUGAAUUAAAUCAUCCAAUAUAUCACACUUAAAGAAACGAAUAUAUAAACAAUAAAUAUUAAAUAUAUGAACAAAAUAGGUGUGGGAAUAUUCAUUAAGAACAGUUAAUAUUUUCCUAAUUGAAUGGUCGAUAAGAUAUUUAUAAUAAUCAUAUUUUUCAUAGCAAUCAAUUAAAUGCAUCAGUUUCGGAAUGCUAACUAACAAUACCUUUCUUUUUAAAAAUAAAAUUAGAAAGAUCUUCCUAACUAAAUAAUUAAGUCGACAGCAAAAAAAAAAUUAUACAUGAACAAAAUGACUAAUCCUAUUAGAAAAAAUAAAUGAAUUUAUAAGGGUUUGAGAUUUAAAAAGUGUCGGUUAAAAAAGAGACGGGUUCAAAUACAUGACAGAUUUAUUUAUUGUAAAAUAUUAUUUUUAAAAACAAUUAAUUAUAAACUUUCUGAAUAUUUUUUUUUAAAUUCACCUUUCGUAUUGAAAUAUAAAUAUUCUAAAAAAAAUUGUUUUAUCAUGUAAUCUAAGAAAUAUGUCAUUACAAAUAUGUUCUUUACAAUUUCAUUUAUGAUAAUAAUGUGAAAUCUUUUUUUUCAAUAAUGUAUUUUUUCCUAUUAUAAAAAAUAUUAAUAAAAUAUUUUAAUAUUUUUAAUAAUAUAGUUAUUUGAAUUCAGUAUUUUUAAUAAUAUAGUUAGUACAAAAUUAAACUAACCCUUAAACUUACACAAUAUUUACAAUAGAAUGCCACUGCAGUAUUUAAUAAACCUAACAAUAGAUAUUCUUUGUCUUUCAUGUAUUAUUAAUGCAUUUUCCUAAAUUAAUUUUUAACUAAAAACAUGGCAACAAUAAUUUAAGCAAAUCUAAACAAUAAGGAAUAUCAAAACAUGAAUCAGUUGAGACAAUUUUUUUCACGAAAAAGAUGAUUAAUUAGUUUGUACUUUUAUUAUCAUAUCAUGAAUCAGUUGUAAUUUAAAAUCCAAUUUUUAUAUAUAUAUUUAUACUAUAAUGUAAAAAAAAUGACGUAAUAAGUGAAAAAAUCAUUUUAACCACACGAGAUCAACAUAUGAACAAUAAGAAAACAUAUACAAACAUCGUCCAUUUGUUCAAUGAAUAUUAUAUCUUUUUAAUGCUCUUCAUAUACUCAAUAUAAUCAAAAUAUCUAUUUUAAUAUAUCUAUAUUAUUAAAACUGAGGUAAGUAUUAGAAUAUUUUUUUUCAUUCUAAUAACUACAUGCGCUACCUAAUUAAUAAUUAUUAAUUAAUUGACAACAAAUCAUUUAUUUUGUUAGAUUUUUUGCUAUCCAAACUUCAAACUUAAUUCAUUAACUACAAAUCAUUUAUUUUGUUAAAUUCUUUUCUAACCAAACGUACGAAACUUACGAUUAUUUUCUAACUGGAUUAUUCUGUAACCAAAUUUUACAAUAAAACUAAAAAAAUUUAUUUAAAAUGUAUCUACAAACUUUAAAUGUUAUAGAUAUAUUCAUAUAUAUAAUUAUUUUAUUUCACAUGCAAAAUAUAAACUAUAGAUAUUUUUAUAAAGUUAUUUUCAAAAUAUAUAUUAAAUAAUUUGAUGAUUAAUACAAUUUACAAAUAUAAAUUUAAUUAUAAGAAUACAAUAAAUAAAUUUCAAUUUAAUAUUUUCUCAAAAAUGAAAAUAAAAGUGAAAUUUAUUUGGCAUAUAAAAAAAUUUAGAGACAUAUAUAUCUAUGUUAUUAAAACAUGAUACAUUUAAUUUUUAAAAUAUAAAUUUAUUAAUAUAUAUAUAAACAUAAUAAUUGGUACUCUAAUUUAGAAAUAAAUACAUCAAAAUGGUUACUGUAGUCAAAAAUAUAAAUCGACAAAUAUAUUAUAUAAUUUAUUUUUAAUUUGUUUUGUAUUCUACCAUAAUAUGAGAAAUCAACAAAUUACACACAGUAAAAAUAGUCCAUUUAUCACAAUUACAAAUCGAAUAAAUACCAUAUGAAUGUAUAUAUCUACAACUAUUAUAUUUUGUAUUGUAAAAAAAAUUAUAUUUCUAUUUUGUUAAUUAAACACCCGUGCGGAUGCACGGGUCAAACUCUAGUUUGAUUUAUUUCAUAUGUCAUCACCAAUGUUUUAAAAACCAGAUCGGACAUUGACUCGGCAUUGUACCUGGGUAAACGGUCGGCUCGGUCCAACCCGGUUCAAGCGGCUUUUAAAUUUUAAUCAAAUUUUAAAUUAAAUAACUAUAUAUAUAUAUAUAUAUAUGUAUAAUCAAUUUAAUUUUAUAAACCUUUCUAUCAUUGUUAAUAUAAAAAAUCAUAUGAAAAUAAAAUGCAACUUCAAAAAUAAUAUAAAACUAUAGUGAAAGUAAUUUAUUUAGAUAAAUAUUAAAAAAAAUAUGAAUUUUUAUGAAAUCUUUUUUAAAAUUGCAAAUUUUAUUUUUAAACUUGAAUUUGAGAAAAUUUAUUUAAAAAAAUCUCAUAAUUUCAUAAUUGAAAAAUAUUGUUUAAAAUCAGUUUAAAAUUGCAUUAUUUAAACAUAACUUAACAUUUAAAAGUUUUACGUAAACACAAGUUCAAUUAAAGCUACUUAAUUUUUUAUAAAACUUUAUUGUAAAUAACAUGUUUGGUUUUCUGUUGUGAAAGCAACACUAAGUAUAAAUUGCAUGCACCAUUAAAUAUUGAUUCUGGCAGAGUAACAAACGUUACAGAUACUAAAGUUUUAGCUAGCUCUAUUCAAAUAUGAAAGAAUUUCUAUACCAAAAACGAUGUGUGUUUUUUACUGAGAAAAACAUAAUUUUUUUUACUGAGAAAAACAUAAUUUUCUUGAAUAAAGUAGAAUCUUAAAUAUUGAAAUAUUUAUGUUGAUAGUUCAAAUUUCUUCUUAUAUUAAAUUACAUAUAAAUCUGAUAUUGAUAUAUUUAUAUUAAAGAUAUUGUCUUUUUAUAUUAAAUUUAUUUUUUAGUUAUAAAAAAAGAAAAUCGUUUUUAUUAAAUUACAUGUUUUAUAUUUAUUAAAGAUAUUUCCUUUUUGAUGAUAAAGUGAUUUGGAAACAAAUAUUUAAAUGUUUAUUAAAAUAUUGAUAGUGGUAUUUUAACAAUAAAAUUUAUUUAUUAAGGUUAUCACUGUAAUUAACCAUUCUAAGAAUCAACGUGAGUGCGACACGUAGAAAACUGACUUAUCAUAUACUAUUAUAGAGAUAAAGUACUAUUAUGGAGAUAAAGUACUAUUAUGUUCUACACAACUUUAUAUAAUUUUGCUUAUUUGUCAUCUAACACUAUUAAAAGGGGAAUAACAAGCCCUCUUAGAUGUGCCACGUCGGAUUGGAAAUUCAGACCAAUCAAACACAAGUUUUAUGACAUGUCAUUAGGUCAACACAUUAACAUACUGAACUUCAAUUUUAUUCGGCAAAAUCGAUUCCUUUUUCUUUCUUCUCAAUUUCUCUGCAAAAUGUAUUCUGAACUUUUGAUUUUCUAUCCAAGAGUCUACUCAUUGAUUCCUCUUCCUUUCUUCUCUCCUUCUCUACAAAACUUUUACCAUACCCAAGAGUCACUUUUUUUUUAAACUUCAGGCUUGUGAACUCUUAUUCUCGAAGUUGACUUUUGUGUGGUUCUCUUAGAAAUCCUAUUUCUGGAUUUAUGAUUCUGAAAAUUGGAAUUUUGUUUUUCGUAGUUGUAAGAUGGGGAAGAGAUGAGAAAGCGGUUAUAGGCGUUUCAGACAAAAAAAAGAAACAAGAGCUAAAGAAGGAGAAUCACGAUAAAUUACAAAGAGAUUUACGGCAAAGAUCAAAUUGAUGUGCUCUCCUCUGAACUCUGAUGGUAUCAUGGUAAAAAUAUUUGAUUCAAAAGCACUAAAAUUAUAGAGUGGAGAGAUUUGUGGAGAGAUUCAGUUUUUUUGUUCUCAUGUAAUUUUAAGUUAGUUCUCUCAUUGUUGUAUCUUUUCGCAUGAACAUUGUAAUUGAGUUGUUUGUGUGUAUGUCUUUUUAUAGAGUGUGGAUCACUGGAUCAACAUGGGUUUGCAAGGGACAAAAUCUGGGUAAUCGAUGACAAUCUAUCUCCUAUUUACUCAAAAGAGUUCUUAAGAAAAGCUUAGUUGAUCUUCAUCUCAAACCAUCAGAAGAGGACUUAAAGCAAUGGUCUGACAGGUAAAAGUAAAACCAUCAUCAUGCCUUUUAUGAUCUAUCUUUAUAGAUUCUGAAUUCUGUGUGUGUUUCCUUUUUGAGUUCCAGGUUCACUUGCUAUAGAUGGCGACUCAACAUUGAUUUCUUUAGAAACAUCAAUGGCAAGCCCUUCAGAUUCUUAUUUGCAUAUCAUACUUACCUCGCUGUCUCAGAUAUAAGGUAAUUGUACUCUUUAAAAAAAUAUAUCAUCAGCAAAAUAUUCUGUGUUUGAUGAAUCAUUCAACUAUUGAAGGAUCAGAAACAUUUGACUACUUGGAGAACCUCAGCAAAAAUGAGCUUUUGACUCUACUAGAGUAGAAACAUACUUCCCUGAGAACAAGUAUCGUUCGUUAACUGCCCAAAGUGGUAUCUCUCAGACACCAUAAGCUAAAUAAAUGUUUCUUUCAACGUGCAAAAAUCUGAAUCACAUUGCUUUAUAUUUCUAAUCUUCUUUGUUGGCAGGAACUUUGAAAACACAUUAAGUGAAUAGAACGUGUGAUGAUGAACUCAAUAUUCAGAACGUCUUUGUAGAACAUGAUGUCGUUUGUGUAAGUCGUAUAAUAUAAUAACUGUUCCAUAUUUACAUAUAUUUCGUCUUAGAACACAAAUCCAGACUGACCACAGAGUUCUUUAUUUUUUUGUUCUUAUAUGGUUUGAUUCGAAGUUAAAGUUCGUUUCUUUAAUUAUGUGUGUUGCAGAAGUCCAAGAGGAAUGAGUAUGCCAAACUAUCUCCUAACGUUUGCAAGGUAUUGUUUUACCUUGUCUGAUUUGUUUUCAUCAUUCUGUAAUUUUCAUGUGUUUGUUCGCUACAUGCUCGCAAGAGACUCAGCUUGAUCUUUGAAAAGUGCUCUGCUUUUUUCAAUUUUAGUUAGAGACCAAGGUUUCAAUUUUUGUUGCUGUUUGUUUGUGUCUCAGACUGUUUCGGUCAGGUUGAUAAAGGGGCUAAUAUUCUUGAAAUUUAUCGCAAUCAUUGUGAUACUGAUCACACUUGCUCGCAUGACGCUGCUACUUGCUCUUUUUGGUUCUUUGCGGGAGAAAUUGAAAGACUUGCGUUUAGCAUCUGAUCUCUCUUCUUUGUGUGUGUUUCUGCAAGUAAAAAUGGUUAAGGGCUUUGAAUGUACUUUUCAUUCUGAUGGGUUAUUUGGGAUUUAAAGUUUUUGACAUUCUCAGAGUUUCCAUAAAUUUGCAGCAUUGAACGUCAUUUUCCCUUUAUGAGUCCGUGCAAUAAGCUUGAAGACAGAGGUGGAAAGUCGGGGAGGUGGAUGGGACGAGCUUGCUGUGAUGGAUGGGGCGGAGAGGCGUCGGAUCUGAAGAAGCUGUGUAGUGGAGAUGGCAGAGGAAGCUAGCGGUGGUAGUGGUGGCGGCACAAAAAGAGAGAGCACUGGAAGAAUGGAGAUGAAUUUUAGGUUUAGUUAAAAAUUUGGUUUAGUUUGGUUUAGUUUAAUAUCGCAUUCAUAAAUAUGUAAACAAUUUCAAUAUAUAAAAUUUAAUUUAAUUUAUAUUUUUCAUAAUUUUUUAUUUUUUAAUAAUGAAAAUAAUUAACAAAAGUAAUACAUCAUUAAAAUCAAAUUAAUAAAUUUUAAUAACAUUUGUAUAACGUUAUUAUAAAUAUUAACAAUUGCAUAGAUAUUAACGCUAUUGUUGUUUAUUUAACUAUAGCAUACGACAAAUCCGCUAUCAAAAGGGUUGGACGAUGUCAGAGCGUUUUAGGGAACGCUAUUAAAAUGAACUAAUAGCGUUUAACGCCAGCUAUUAAUACCCCAUUUCCUAUAGUGUUCGAGUUACUACGCCAGAGUAUGCAACAUUCAGCAAGGUGGUAGCUUCCAGUUACGCUAAAUAGUCAAAAGUUGGAAAGUUUGGAUUUGAUCUGGUCACGUGCUCAAAGUCAUACCUUUUUAUUAAUCUUAUAAUGGUAACUUCUUUCUAUUGUUGAAAAUGCUUUUCUUUCUUUUAUAUAGAGUGAAGGUGGUGACAAAGCAGUUAAUCAGUUAGACAAAUCUGUUAAUCAACAAUAGCCGUCAACAUGUCUAUUGAGAACAAGGAAGUUGCUGAGAAGAUACAUCCGAGAACUAUACAAGUUUAAUUUUCUUGAUCUAUGUGUUAGUUUUAUCGCCGCCAACGUCCAGGAUUGUGAUCUCCAGUCUCUGCUUUAUACUAUAGUUCAGGUUAUAAAUGGAGUUGCUACACUGUUUAGUGGACCACGAUACCUGCUCCUAAGGGUUAAAUGUAUUCGAUGGCUAAAUCUCUUUCGUGCAAGUCGCAUAUUCAUUCCUAUAGCUUCACUGGUAUUGGAUAUACUGGAAUAUAAAUCCAUAAAUGAUAGUGAAAAGCAAGGAAGUAGCUUGAAGCUGUUUCAACCGUAAAGCUGCUUAAGAAUUGGUUGAAGUCCCUGAAUUUCCAAGAACAAUGUAUCUUUUCUGUGAUUGAGCUCCUUGCCGUCCACUUUUCUCAACGGAGCUUCAACAUAUCUUUUCUAGAGCUUGCUAUUAUUCCCUUAUGAGGCUGAACAAAUUUAACGAGAGAAGCAUUCUGGAAGGGUUAAAGAUGGACAUGGUGGUCAAACACUUCAUCAAGCAGGUGGAGUUGAAUAUUGAGUCUGUACACAAUACUAUCAAAGCAUCACAGACAAAGGUCUUGGAACAAAAAAAGAAGAAGUGAGACAAGUGUGCGAACAAUAAUAAUGCAAUUCCUGGGUUUGCAACUCAGAUUAUAGGGCAUAAUCAAACCGUAGCAGUUAGAAUUCUCAAAUUCUUAAACCAUUUUUGUUUCAUAAAUUAUUUUCAGAAAUACACAAAACGUCUAUGCAAUCUGGUUAAUAAAAACGGUGAAACAAAAAUAAAUCAGAUUCAUUCGAAAAAAUGUGUUUAAUCAGUAAUCUAAUUUCAGACCUACAACAGUAAUGUUUUAAAAAUGUUUUAAAAACAAUAGCCAAAAAAAAGUAGCAAUCUAAUUUCAGACCUAUGACAGUAAUGAUUUUGUUAUAUAUCGACAAUUUAUAACUUUGAGAGAGCUUUUAAACUGGGUAUGAGGUCCUCACUCUUACUUGUUUUCGAGAGGUCAUGCAAGAUCAUGUUUGAGCAAAGUUGACUCAAACACUACCCAACAAACAAACAAAAAGCUUGAACAUGAAAAAAAAAGUAUUAAUAUUUACAAUGAUUUCCAAAGUAUUAAAUAUUUAAAUGAUUAUCAUCAAAUGUAGUUAAAUAAAUAUUAAAAUAGUUAAAUUAUUAAAAUAAGGAACUAUGUAUAAAUUAAUAUGACAUCAAAUGUAAGAAAGUAAACCUUAAAUAACUUUACAACUAAAAAUAUUCAAAUCAUGAAGCAAAAUUUCUUUCCAUCACAAAAAAGCAAACAAUAAAUGAUAAAUUAAAUAUUUGGUUAAAGGUAAAUGGAGACAACAAACUCGAUUGGUACUUUCUCUUAAAUUCAAGUAUAAAAAUGAAAACUUAAUAAUUGUAAAACCAAACAAAAUUUAUACAGUAUUAAUUAUAAGUUUUACAAUUUUUUUACAUAAAAAUAAUAACCAAGAAAAGAAUAUAUAUAGAUCUUAACUAAUAAUUUAGUUAACUUUUUAUUAAUCUUUGCUAAUAUGAUUCUAAUAUCCUAUUUAAAUUUCCAAUAAAACACACAAACAAAUUCUAAUAGUUUUAAAUAUGCAUAUAUUUUUAUAAUUAUUCUUUAACCAGUUCCAGUAUAUAUUAUAUUUGUUCAUUUUUAAAAUAAAAAUACACAAAUUCAAUUAAUAUUAUAGGAAAAAAUCCGGGCGUAGCCCGGAAAACCCUCUAGUAUUUUUAAUGAUUUUGACUGAUGAAUCAUCAAUUUAGAUUUAUACUAUUAUUUAAAAUUUUAUCUUAUUUAGUCAUCAAUUAUUUAUUUAAUCUUAAUUUUAAAAUAGAAUUAAACUAAUAUUUAAAAUUAAUUAAUGUAAUCAAAUAAUAAAUCUAAAAACUGACAAAAAUUAUUUUAAAAUAAAAUUUAAAUUUAAAAAAAUAUUACUCUAAACAUAGUGCAGAAAAAUACCUAAUACAACUUCAUAUUGUAAGUGAACAUAAUGUUCAAGACAAAAAAAAAGUGGUAGUAAUAGCAAAAAGUAUAAAUACAAAGUAAACUAUAAAGGGGCCAUCAUAAAACUAACAAUUCUUCAAUAGUUAUAAGUUAGAAAAUAUUAUAUAGAUUCUUUAACUUAAAAAUUAGUUAUUUAUUAAUGGUAUCAACGUUUUUAACCGAUCUGACUUUUAAGGUGAGAGCUAAUAAAAAAAAAUUAAAUCAUUUUGCAAAUAAUAAAUAGAUAUAUUAUAUUUUAACAUUUAAAAGACACACAUAUAUUUCGAGGCUCUAAUCUUAUAGUACGGUUUUCAGAAUAAAUGUUGAUGAAGAACUAGAAGCCAUGGGUAAGAAAAUGGUCACAUAUUGUGGAGGACUACCAUUAGCCGUUAAAGUGCUGGAGGCUUGUUAGCUAAUAAAAACAUGGUUGAAGAGUGGAAAAGAGUAGAUGACAAUAUUCAAACUCAGAUAGUUCGCAUAGAUGACAACAGUCAAGAUUCGGUUUACCGAGUAUUGUCUAUGAGCUAUGAAGAUUUGCCCAUGCAGUUAAAGCAUUGCUUCCUAUACCUAGCUCAUUUUCCCGAAGAUGACAAGAUACAAGUACGGAUAUUGUAUAAUCUUUGGGAAGCAGAAGGAAUAAUAACGUCAAGUUGCGAUGGAGAAACCACUAGGAAAAUUGGAGAAGAAUACAUAGACGAGCUAGUAAGGAAAUAUGGUUAUUGCAGUAAAAGAUGAUUUGAGUUGCAAAUGGAAGUAUUGUCAAAUGCAUGACAUGAUGAGAGAAGUAUGUUUAUAUAAAGCCAAAGAAGAGAACUUUCUUCAGUUUAUCGAAGUACCUACUUCUUCACCUCUACCAUCAAUGCGCAUACUCCUACCAGAGCUCGCAGACUCGUAGUACACGGUGAUGGUAAUGCAUUUGAUAUGCUGGGACGUAAAAACAAUCAAAAAGCUAGAUCUGUUUUGGUUUUGGACUCGACAGCAACUUGUGGAAGCAGUCAGGUCAAGGAUUACGAAAUUUACAACUACUAGGGUCUUAGAUCUGAAUUUACAAACACAUGAUAGCGACUCUAGAGGAGGGAGAAUACCAUCCAGCAUUGGAAAAGCUCAUUCAUUUGAGAUAUUUGAGCUUACACAUGGGUCGUGCAACUCAUGUAGAGUUAAGGUCCCUGAUGCUUCCCUUUAUAUUGACGCUAAACAAAGUUGGAAUUGGGUAAUCUACUGAACCUAGAGUACUUGGUCGGCUUCCGACUUGAAUACGUAGCAUCACAGACUUCCUCCGAAUGAAAAGCUCAGGACUCUCGAGAUAUUUCUCAAAGGCAGGUAUACUUCUGAAAUUCUUGCGUCAUCUCUCUGUGAAUUAACAAACCUGGAGACGCUUAAAUUGAUCAAUGUGAACGGAUACGAUGAGGCUUAUGAUUUGGAUUUCGUUUGGAAUUUCAUUCAUCUAAGGCAUUUAGAGCUGGACAUACAUAUAACAAGGCUUCCUGAUCACUCUCGAUUUCCUCCCCACUUGCACACAUAUCUCUAUGUGACUGUAAAAUGGAGGAGGAUCCACUGCAGAUUCUGCAAAAGUUGCUUCAUUUAAAGUCGGUUGAAUUAUCAUAUAGUACUUUCGUGGGGAGGAAGAUGGUGUGUUCAAAAGGUGGAUUCCCUCAGUUAUGUAAGCUACAAAUACGGUUCCUGCACAACUUGGAAGAGUGGAUAGUCGAAGAAGGGUCGAUGCCAUGUCUUCGUACCUUGUCUAUUCGGUAUUGUAAGAAGUUGAAGGAGCUACCGGAAGGGCUCAAGUAUAUAACUUAUUUAAAGGAACUGGAUAUCAGACAUAACAACAAGGAGUGGAAGAAGAAACUCGCACCAGGUGGGGAAAGUUAUCACAAAGUCAAACACAUUCCUAGUGUUCAAUUAAACUAUCGUGGCAAUUAAUAAGGAGAAUAAAACUGUCUCAGGUAUAUAUUCUUUUUGGUAUAAUGUCAAUAUUGUUCAUUUUGUUGGUUAUGUAUCCUCCUUGAAGUUUAGUGUGAGUCUCAACUCUCUGUUAUUCGGUUUUCAGGUGAACCUACUCAGGAUCAGUACCCACCACUAUCGAUUGUGUGAUAUGAUAAUAAGUCGUUUUGUUGUAUGAAGUUUACAUAUCUUGUUUGUGAUAUAUUUCGUUUAUCUGUUUGCAUGCUCAUUCACUGUAAUACUAAGUUUGAAAUAUAUUUUGUAUGUUGAACCAUAUCUUCUUCGAUGUCUCCGUUGUGUGUGCUUAGUUGAUUUUCAUAGUCGGAACUGGAGAUAGAACGAUGGUUUUAUCAUGACAAAACGCAAGAACAACAACACAUAUAAAUUAGAUAUGUUGUAACAACUAUUUAAAAAAUUGAAUGAUGGAAACCCCAAAUUUGUUUAAAGAAAAUGAUGUUGAUAGUGGUUUUUGAAAAAAAAAAAGGAUUAUGAUGAACAAUAACAAUGAAAACUCAUUGUAAACACGCUUUAGAGAGCCAAACAAAUAAAUCAAUUCUAAGAUUUUUGGUGGAAAGGUAAUUUAAGAGGAGAUGGAAAACGAUAACAGGAAUGAGUCUUUAAAAACACACAUAUAUAUAGAUUGAUAAAGGAUGCUUCAUCUAAGAGUUGUAUUGUUUUGAGAUGGAGACUAUUCGGUGAAAAGAUGCAACGCACCGCAGUUUUGUUUUUUUAUAUCAUUAAAUUCAAUCAAAUAUGACUGUUGGACUUAAAACCUUUUUCUUUUAAAAAGUGACGAUAUCACCAGUUUUGGUAUGCUAUUAUAUAUAUAAUUUUUUUAUAAUGAAAAUAUACAAUUUUAAAAAUUAAUAAUAUUCAGAUUGUUAUGAAAAUAUACAAUUUAUAUAAUGAACAGACACAAUUUUUCAAACUAAUACAUUUCAGUUUUUUUUUAUGAAACAACACAACCAAAGUAGUUAUUUUGAAAAGACACAACUAUUUCGAUUUUUAGAAAAGAUACAACUUUUCAACAUAAGUAAGAUUCAUAACCUUUGAAAUUAAUCAGGAUUGCUAUUAUUAGUAGAUAAAAUAUUUGAUUUUAUCAUAUAUAUAUAUAUCUAUUAAUAAUAGCAAUCCCAAUUAAUUCAAAAGGUUGUGAAUUCUACUUAUGUUGAAAGGUUAUAUCUUUUCAAAAAUUAAAAAUUGUGAUUUUUCAUAUAAGUAUUAUUACAAAAAGACACAACUUUUUAAUUCAAACGAUGUGACUCUUCGAAUUUUUUUUUGAAAAUCUGUAAAUAAUCCAAUGUCCAUGCCUUCUCAAAGCAUAAUUUCCCUAAUCAAAUAAAAUGGUCACAUUCGUAGGGUUUUUAUAAAUACUUUAAAAAUAUAUAUAUAUUUAAAUAAAAAAAUGUGACUAUUUAUAGUUAAAAGUUGUGACUAUUUAUAUAAGUAUUAUCUCAAAAAGAACAACCAAUUAAUAUGAAAAGUUGUGAAUUGAUAGGUUGUGUUUUAAAACAUGUAACUCUACAAAAUAUUAGCUUUAAGAGUUGUGUUUUUUCAUCAUAAAUGAUAUAUUAGUUUUCAAAAGUUAUAAAAUAUUCUAUAAAGUAUCUUUGUACAAUUAUUUGUUUCUAGAGUUGUUUAUUAGUUAGUGUAAAUAGUAAUGUCUUUCUAUUGUAAAAGAAAACUAGAUUUUGACCCGCGCUUUUUAAGCGCGGGUUUUUUUCCGACAAAAAUAAAAGUUUAAAUUGAUUAUUAUUUUGUGUUCAUAUAAUUUUUUUAAGAUUAAAGUCACCAUGAUUUAUAUUGAUGUGAUCAAGCAUCUGCGUUUUUGAAAUUUGGUUGAAAUGUUUUUAAAAAUGAUGUUUGUUUGUCUAAUAGUAUAUGAAAUAUGAAGUGUAAAUAUAUAUAUUGGUAUUGGAAAGAUUGUUGCACACAACUAUAUAUAUAUAUAUAUAUUAACUAUCAAAAUUUAAAAAUAUAAAAGCAAAUAUAUAAAAGGAUUUAAUAUGUAGUUAUUAUAAAGCUAUAUUUUUUUCUAUACAUAGUCAAUAUUUAAAUUAUUGUUGAAAAUUAAAAUCUAAGUUUUUAAUUGCAGGUUUAUUAAUAUAGGUGUAAAAUGAGUUUUAAUAUAAACUAUGACAUUGUCAUAUAUACAUGAUACGUUUUUUUAUUUCACAUGUCCUAUUAGAAACAUACCAUAUAUAGGUCUAUUUAUUUAUACUGCUGGUACAUACGAUUUUAUAUAUACCUUUAUCAAAAUAUGCGAUAUUAUAAGGACUAAAAACCUUUUAACUAACGUUGAGUAAUAUAUGGUAAUAGGAGAAAUAAUAGGUAGACCAAUAUACUAUUAAUUAAAUAAAAGGGUGCAGUAACCUUGUUUAAGUAGAUUUCUCAAGACUGAUUCUCUUUUAAUAGAAUAGAUUUAGUUUUUAAAAAUAGUUAAGGUGUCUUUCUUUAAUAAAUAUCUUCGUGUCUUUCUAUUAAUCUUGUUGUAUUGUGUAACCUUGCAAUGUUUGGUUAUUAACAGUUGCAACUUUUAGUUUCUUAUAUAAAGAAUUUUGGAUUGCGACACAUCACAAAAAUUCAUUUACUUGAUUCACCCAAAACAUACAACAUUUUGUAUAUUUGUUUAUUUUAGAAUAACAACACUUGUGAAACAUAAAACAAGUGUUUCAAAACAUUUCGAUUGCAAAAAAGAAAAGAAAAUACCCAGUAUUCCUCAACAUGCAUACUGCAUAUAUAAUCUCAUACAUCACUCUCCUAAACUCUUUUUUCUUUGUUUUAUUUUUGUUGUAUUAUUGACUAGUAUAUAAUCUUAUAUUAAUAUUAUACUCAUGUGAUGAGAACUUCCCCCCCCCCCCCCCCCACCCCCCCCACCCUUUUCAAAAUUCGACCAAUUAAGUUGGUUCGUUGAAUCGUUAUCGAUUUUUAUAAAUUGGUUCUGCAACGGAUCAUCGUCCAUCGCGCAACACUCCAACCUCGUCUCCCAAGGCACGUUUACAGAUUUGUCAAGUCGUCAUGUUCUUCUGAUCUGAUAAAUGCGUAAUUUGAUGAACUCUUCUCUCGCCUAUUUGCGGUACUAUUAGGCAGAAGAACCCGUCGAUUUACGUCCCGUCACGACGGAUCUCCAGCGGAACUGCUGCGGCGACGCUGCGUUAUGCCACUGCUAUGAGAUCUUAUUCUACGUCGUUUAUGGAAGAGAGGGACACUUUCGGGCCGAUCCAAGUUUCUUCCGGUAAGUACAUGAUAUUUUUUUUUUUACCAUAACGUCUUGACUAUCUCAGUUCUCCAGUAUGUCUUAUCAGCCUUAUCUUUGUUGUCACUGUGUCAGAUUUUGGGGAGCCCAGACGCAGAGACGCUGCAGAACUUCGAAAUCGGUGAUGAGCACGAGCGUAUGUCCAAACCUAUCGUCUGCGGUUUUGGCGUCUUGAAGAAGUGCGUGGCCAAGCAUAGCUAUAAGUCUAUAACCAUAGGUUUUGUCUAAGUCAUGCACAUUGCCGCUGUAACUGAGAUUAAUUGAAGGCUCUUAUUCGUAAGACUGAUCAAAAAGCCAAUAAUGUGGCGGUGAUUUCAACCGGAAAGGAAGAUAAGUUCAAUUAUUAAGCUUCUAAAAAGUACAUAAAAACAUACCUUGACAAUCUAUGAUUAAGAGAUGAACGAAAAUGCAAUGCAGAUGAAUGAAGAGGUUGAAUAGAACGCAGAAAUCAGGAAUCAGAAAAAGAAAAUUGAAAAAAGGAGAUAAUUUGUAAACUGGUUAUCAAAAAUAUAAACGUAUGAAGAGGUGCCAACUAAGAGUCACAAUUUCAUUAAUGGAUAAAAGUCAGACAAUGCUUCACUACCGACAUACAACUUUGGUAGAGUCGUGUCUUAACUAAACCAUUGGAUUAAAAGGUUGCUAAUCUCAACAGUUUCCUGUUUUUUUUUUUGAAGAAAAUUACUAUAAGAAUAUGAAAUGGGACUUGGAACAAAAAAAAAGAAAAAAAAAAGAAAAGGGACUUCACUAACGACACAAAGCUUCAGUAGCGGUAGCGUCUCCUUUUUUUGUCAAAACAAAAAAAUUACUAAUCUGAACAGUUUCCUGUUUUUUAAAAGAAAGUUACUAUAAGAUUAUGAAAAGGGACUUCACUAACGACACAAAGCUUCGGUAGCGUCUCCUUUUUUUAGUCAAAUCAAAUGAUCAGCCCUUGGAUUAAAAGGUGUACUAAUUUCAACCAUUCCUUUAAACAAAAUUAUAAUAUAAAAAAAUGAUGUCAGAUAAAUACAAAUUUUGGUUUGCUAUUAUAUGUAGACCGUGUUUUUUUUGUAAUGAUAUAUCUUUUCAAUAUACAUUAUAUACAACAUUUUAAAAAAACUAUUUAUAAUUUGAAAAGUCGUGAUCAUUCAUAUACAUAUUUGAAAAACUAUAAAUAGCCCAUGUCCAUAAAUUUCUUAUUGUAAAUCUUUCAAAAAUUUAUUAAAAUGGCCAAAAAGAAAAGUUAUGUGCAGUAACCUGAUUACAAAUAAUUUGAAGAUAAUAGACGAAACGAUGUCAACAAAGAAUUGUAGCAAGGGUCAUUCAUGUUUGGCUAGUAAAAAAUUCUAAACGAGAUACUGAAGUUAUUAGUCUUAAUUUCUCUUCAACUAGAUGAAAAUGUGUGCUUUUAUUUCUUACAAAUUUUGCAUUUGUAAUGAUGUAUGUUCCAUGAAACACAUAUUAUGCAUGUCUUAUAUAUUCAUGUGCUAUAUAUUCUUACACUUGGGUUAUAUAAGAAUGUAUGAUCAUGUCACAAAAGCCGGUAAAUUUUAGUAACAUAAUAUUCUUAUUGAUUGUUGACAUUUUAUUUGAGUGGAUAUUUUUGUUUUACAAAACCAGUCAAUUAAUGUAUUUUUUUCUCAUUCUCUUGGGUUGUUUCAUAUUUGUGACAUCAAUAAUCAUUAUCAAUAAAAGAAUAUAGUUAUAUACAAAAUAAUUUUGUAACACGUGUAUUGUCUCAAAAUUAAUUGUAAACAAUUUUCAUAAAAAUUUAUUUUAUAAAAUAUAUUAUAUUUACUUUUAUGAAAUGAGUUCCCGUGCGAUAUCGCACGGGUUCCUUACCUAGUAUUAACAGUGGCGGUUCUACUAAGCUCAAGAAGGUGGCACUUGCCCCCUAUAAAAUCAUUAAAUUCUUUUUAACUUACCCAAAAUUUUGUUACAUACGUUUACUGAAAAUCAUGUUUUAUUUAUAUAGUUGUAUUUACAUAUGAUUUGCCCCCAGUAAAAUUUUGUUCUACAUCCGCCCCUGUAUAUUAAUUAACUUUUAGAAAUCCGACAUUUAUAUUUUUUUGUUACACUAUUUGGUGUAUACAAAAUAUGUUUUAUAGAAUUUAAAAUGUAUUUUUAUAUAUAAUUUUACGAAAUAUUAUCAAAAUAUAUUGAAAUGUUAAGAAAAAAUAGAAAUGAACUUCAUUUGUGAAUAUAAAACAAAUAAUACAAUGUUUAAUGUUUGUACUUUAUGUGUUUAUUAAUUAUAGAAUUUUUACUGCAUAUUGUUAUAAAUAUAUAUAUAUAUAUAUUUUAAAAACAUUUGAAAAGACUAAACACACUAUUAUUUCAAGACUCUGAUCUUAUAACGUGUGUUACUAUUUUCAGAAUUUGAUGUUGAUGAGGAACUAGAAGCCAUGGGUAAGGAAAUGGUGGCAUAUUGUGGAGGACUACCAUUAGCCAUUAAAGUGUUGGGAGGCUUGUUAGCUAAUAAAACCAUGGUUGAAGAGUGGAAAAGAGUAGAUGACAAUAUUCAAACUCAGAUAGUUCGCAUAGAUGACAAAAGUCAAGAUUCUGUUUACCGAGUAUUGUCUAUGAGCUAUGAAGAUUUGCCAAUGCAGUUAAAGCAUUGCUUCCUAUACCUAGCUCAUUUUCCCGAAGAUGACAAGAUACAAGUGGACAGAUUAUAUUAUCUAUGGGCAGCAGAAGGCAUAAUAAAGUCAAGUGGCGAUGGAGAAUAACGAGUCAAGGUCCAACCGGGCAAUCCGGUUUUCAAAACACUAGUCAUCACCAUAAUGAUUCUUUUUUUUAGAGAAAUAUGUUAGCCAUCUAAACAUAUAAUAUAAUACUCAUUAAACUAAGUAUUAAAUUAAUUAUUAAUGUACAAAACAUAUUAUUCCUUCUUUGCUUAAGUAUAAGCUACAAAAUUACAUAAUGUGAUAAAUAUAUAUAAGGAGUUUUCUUGCGCCAUGCGCAAAUAUACUAAUUUUUAGCUAAAUUUUUAUUUAUUUUAUUUUAAAUAAAAAUAAAUUUACGUUUUCAUACUAUUAUUUUUAUAUUUUAAAUUCAUCGGUCUGGAAAAGAGUGAAAUCACAACUAUUUUUUUGUAAUUUUGUUUCAUUUGAUUUGUUUUAUUUAUUUUAAUUUUAUUUUAUAUGAAUUUUAUUGGAGAAGAAUUAUAUUUUAUAUAACUUUGAAUUUUAUUUAUUUAUAUUUAGUGAUUAUUUAUUUUGAAUAUGUUUCUUAUCCUCUAAGUGUAUAAAUUUUAAUAAUGAUUGGGUUUCUGUUUAAAUGUAUAGCUAAUAUGUUAAACUUGUAAACUCAAUUUCUUAAUUAAUCAAAUAAACUAAUGGAUGCUACUAAAAUUUUAAACAUUUAAUCAUCCAAAAAAAUUGAUUAGCAUUGCUUUAGUUUUGUGUUCCCUAAUGCACACUUACACUUUAUUUUAAUAAAAUAUAAAAUAUAUAUAGAAAAUAUGAUAAAUAAGUUAAUUUAAAAUUAAAAUAUAAUUAUAUUUAGUUUAUUUUUAUAAAUAUGAUAUAUAUAAUUUUAUUUUAUUUCAAUGGUGAUAUAUGAAUUAUUAGUUAUUAAUAUACUUUAAAAGUCUUGCCAAAAUAAACAUUUACACAGAAAUGCUAACUUCUAAAUAGUGAUAUAAACAUUAUUAGUCAUUACCAUUUUUAUAAAUUCUUACUAAAAAUAUAUAGAUUUGUAAAAGUUAUUAUUAUUACCAUAUUUAAAAGUCUUUAACAAAAAUAUAAAUUUUUAUAAGAAAAUUUUCAUGUCAAAUUAACUUGAUCUCAUGUCAUUAUUUUCUAAAAACAUGUCAUUUUUUUGGGUGAGAAUGAACACUGUGAUGACAUGUGUACAAAACCACUUUGCAAUUAAUAUUUAGGAGAUACUACAAUCAAUGACUUUGAAUAAUAAUGAUUUGAUAACAAUUUGUGUAUCAUCCAUCAUCUUUAUUUAAUUUUAAAUUAUUAAAAUAAAUUAAUUAAUCAUAUUAAUCAUCUAAUAAAAAAUAGAUUUUCCUUAUAUUUUGAAUUUUAAAGAUGACUAUAAAUUACUAAAAUUGUUAAAAUUAAUGGUUUAAUUUUAUUAUUAUAAUAAGAUACAAAUGAUCAUAAGAACUUAUGAAUAUGAAAUUUCAUUUAAUAGAACUGUAGAUUAAAAUAUAUAUAUAUAUAUAUAUAUAUAUAUAUAUAUAUAUAUUUUAAUAUCGUUUAAAUUUAGCUGUAUAUAUAUAUAUUUUUUUUUCUGAACAUUUGAAAAGACUAGAGACAUUAUUUCAAGGCUCUAAUGUUAUAAUAUGUGUUACUGUUUUCAGAAUUUAUUGUUGAUGAAGAACUAGAAGCCAUGGGUAAGAAAAUGGUCACACAUUGUGGAGGACUACCAUUAGCCGUUAAAGUGUUGGGAGGCUUGUUAGCUAAUAAAACCAUGGUUGAAGAGUGGAAAAGAGUAGAUGACAAUAUUCAAAGUCAGAUAGUUCGCAUAGAUGACAAAAGUCAAGAUUCUGUGUACCGAGUAUUGUCUAUGAGCUAUGAAGAUUUGCCAAUGCAGUUAAAGCAUUGCUUCCUCUACCUAGCUCAUUUUCCUGAAGAUGACAAGAUACAAGUGGACAGAUUAUAUUAUCUAUGGGCAGCAGAAGGCAUAAUAAAGUCAAGUGGCGAUGGAGAAACCACUUGGGAAAUUGGAGAAUACUACAUAGACGAGCUAGUACGGAGAAAUAUGAUUAUUGGAGUAAAAGAGGAUUUGAGUUGCAGAUGGGAGUAUUGUCAAAUGCAUGACAUGAUGAGAGAAGUAUGUUUAUAUAAAGCCAAAGAAGAGAACUUUCUUCAGUUUAUCGAAGUCCCUACUUCUUCCAUCUCCACCAUCAAUGCUCAUACUCCUACCAGAUAUCGCAGACUCGUAGUACACGGUGGUGGUAAUGCAUUUGAUAUGCUGGGAUGUAAAAACAAUAAAAAAGUUAGAUCUGUUUUGGGGUUUGAACUCGACAGCAACUUGUGGAAGCAGUCAGCUCAAGGACUCAGAAAUUUACAAUUACUUAGGGUCUUACAUCUGAGUUUAGAUUAUAAAAGCGACUCUAGAGGGUGGAGAAUACCUUCGAGCAUUGGAAAACUCAUUCAUUUGAGAUAUUUGAGCUUAGACAUGGGUUGGGCAACUCAUGUACCUUCUUCUUUACGGAAUCUAAAG